UUAUCUACCGUAUUGUACACUCUCUCAUCUCCAAAAGCUCACAUUAUACCUGUCACUCAAAUUAAAGGAAGAAAACCAACCAUUUCUAGAUUUAAAUACGACUUUGUCGCAGUAUUAUUUUAUUAAAUCUCACUUUCUUCUCUAAGAAUCUGCAUAUAUAUGUGUGUGUGUCUUAUGAUGCAUUUACAAUCAUUACCAUAUAAUAAGUUGUGUUUCCCAAAGUGUAAAAAAUAAUAUGAAAUCGUUUAAGGUGUAUUUGCUAUUGUUGGUUAUCAAUUUCUCAUUCCAAGAAGAAUCAAGAUUUGGACUUGCUGAUGCUGCAAGACCAAUUUCUUUACAAUCCCAGAAUAGUAAGUUUUCCUCUUCAGUAGAGUAUUUGAAGAUGUUUGAGACUCUUGGAAUGGUUUGCAAGUGUUGUGAUGGGGCAGAUUCUGGAGAAGGAAAAAAGCAAGAUUUGUGUAGUGCUACUUGGAAUGUUUCUUGCUCCAAUCUUCAGUGCUUCCCUUGGAAAUUCCAAUGAUUUUUUAUGGCUUUUUUGCUUUGUAUAUGUCAAGUGUACCAUAUAGAUCAAUUGAGGGAACGGAUUGUUGUCUCUUUUAUGGUCUUCGACGAUCCUCAUAUUAAUUAUGAGAUAACUUUUAAGAUUGAGUUAGACUCAAAAUUCGUAAUCUUUACAUGGCAUCGAGUAAGACUCAUUCAAAUUCUUGGUUUACCCAAUGUUGGACUCCACGCUCUAGAAUUCUAGGCAUGGCCACUUGGGUUCACAAGGAAUAUUAAGUGUUAACCAUAUUGGUUGAAAGAUGAAUUGUUGUCUCCUUAUAAAGUUUUGGACGAUCAUUAAUUUAUAAGCUAACUUUUGAGAUUGAAUUAUGUUUGUUUUUUUACGGUUUAGAAAGAGGCUUUUGCUUUGUAUAUACACUAUAUAUUCCUAGAGAUUCAAUGGCUAAAUUGCCUCUUCUUUUCGUUUUACACAGGGCUUUCUUCUUUCAUUCUUGAAGCUUAUUUUUGGCAUAUGGAAAGAACAGGAGAUGAAAAUUAAACAUUACUAAUAUUAGCUGGUAAGGGAAGUGGAGGAAAAAGACUAUUUUAAGUUGUAUCUUUUAUUUAUCUUCUCAAUCUUAAACGUCCAAACAAGAGAAGAAAAAGCAACUUUGGAGAUUACUGGGGCACAAAUAUACAUGUACCCAUACAACUUUUAGCAUACGAUUUCAAAUUCGAAUUUUGCUCCUGAGACCCAAAGAAAGUUACUCUCUCCAUUUUAUAGAGUUGCUUUAACUUCAAUAGAUAAUUAACCGUAGAAAGGGAUUCUAAAGAAAGAAAAGAGUACGUGACCCCUUUUUAGAGCAUGUAAGGAGAUUUUAAUUGAAAAAGGAUGUAUUCAAGCAUGAGAUCAAAUCUCGAUAUUAGUUUCCUUCCUUUGUUAGUCUUUCUCUAUCAUCUGCAUUAAUGUUUAUAUAAUGAAAUCAGAAAUCCAAAAAGUUUAUCUUAUAAAAUUAUCCAAUUGAUGAAAUAAAUAAAGUCAAGCGUGACUUUCUUUCAAUGUACUCCAGAAUUUAUUAGUUAAAGGAUGGCAGAGUCUCAUCAUAUACGAUUUCAAGGGAGAAGCAUUGAUGUCAUACAAUUUUCUUCUAUGAUUUGUAGCUGAUGGAAGAGUAACAACCAUAUUACAAACUAUGCACUCACAACGUAAGAAAUAAUUACACGAUCAAAUUACUUAAAAGAAAAUUAUAAGUAUUUCACUGAUGACAUAAUCUUAGAUAGGAGGAUAUGGAGGUUGCAGAUUAAAGUAGAAGGUUAAUAUGUAGUCGAAUUCUCUAGCUUUCCUGUAGGAGAGGCUUGGUGGUAGUUUGGAGCUCGUUAUAGGCUUGUCCCUUCAUACCAGUAGUAUUAGUAUUAUUCUCGUAUUGUCUUAUUCUUCGGCUUCUAUUACUAUAUAUUAUUUCUUGUGAUUGAGUUAUCUUAUUAUUUUGUUAUUGUUAAUUCCCCUUUUUUCAAUUGCUUUGUAAUGCUUUCCUUACUAUUUUUUCAUGGCUUCUUCACUACUGAUUUUCAUUUUCAAAACUGCUUUAGAUUGCUUUUUUUAGCCGAGUCUACUGGAAAGGCGGAAAGAAUCUCUCUACCUUCACAAUUCUCCCCAGACCCCACUUGUGAGAUUCCAUGGGAUAUGUUAUUGUUGUUGUAAAAAUACAAGUAUAUAUCUCAUAAUAAUCAUUAAUUGGUAAUCUUGUCAAAUAACAAUUUAUCUAUUAUCUCAAGUUAAAAUACAUUGAUAUUAUUAAAAAAAUUACACUCUCUAGUGUAUAUAACUUAAAUUCUUCUAAAUUACCCAUAAAGAUAAUAAACGGACUCUUAACAAGAAAGUUAGAAAUUUUCUUUGGGCGGCAUCUAACUUAGCUUUUGACCUGAUUUUGCUUCUAGAAACUGAAAUUAUCGUAUUCAAGGUUAGAUAGUACAAGUUCUUUUUUUUUUCCUCCUCAUAUAUAUAGAGAUAUAGGAACAGCUACUCCUAGUAACUUGUACUGGAUUUGAAAUUUUCUCAUAGUUGGUGUGCUGCGAAGCAUGAAAUAGCCUCUCCCUCCAUAAUGACAAGAACGUAUUGCCAUUAAUAUAAGUUACAGACUACUGAUUCAUUUUUUCAUUAAUAAUCAGCAGUUGGUGGUUGUUUCCAUACCCGUCAUAAGGAAGUGUCCUGUAGAAUUGGUCCACAAAAAAUAAUUUUAUUUUAGUUUUUUUAUGGGUACUGGGUAGGAGUUACUUUUGAUUAUGUUUAUUUCAGGCAAACUCUACUUGCCCAACAGUAUCUAACUCUAAAAUAGUACGCGUUUCCCCCGUGGAGAUACUUCAAUAAUCCAAAUAACUAUCUAAAACGAAGCGUGAAGGAUUUAAAUGCAGUGGCUUUCAGGCCAUAUCUAUCAAUUGGGUCAUUCCUUAACCCCGAUUAAUUGAAGAAUUUUCAUAAACUACUAGUAUAAUUUAGAGCCUAGUAACUAUAGUUUGUCUAAUUAUCAUUUGUAGUUACUGUUCAGUUGUUACUAACUUGUAUCACUUGUAUUUAAACGCGCAACGAAUACAGCCUGUUGUUUACUCGCUAAACGGUACAGUUGAAUAUGUUAUGUGGAGUAUAGACACAUGGAUUGAUUCGAUCCAAUAAAUAAGAAAUAAACAGGAAAUAAAGCAGAAGUAAGAAAAUAAGUAAAUGACGAGCCUGGCUACAGAUUUAGCCUUUCCGAUGACAGCGAGAAGAAAUAGAGCAUGAAAGAAUAGUAUAUUAGCGUUAAGGGAUGUUUGAGAACUUUUUAGAGAGAGAGAAGUAUUUUGCAAUUCUCUGCGACAACCCCCCCUCCCCCUCCCCUCCCUUCCCCCCCCCCCCAAUGGGUGUUGACUCCUCAAUUUAUAGGUAUUAUCGAGGAGGUCAAACCCUUACAUUCAGCACCUAAUAAAUGACAAUGAAACCGUCCCUUGAUGAUUUCCCAACGGUUGGGAAUAAAUGUGAUAUUCUCUGAAACGUGUGCUUAUUGACCACUAACAUUCUCUAUAACGGUUGCUCAUUAAAUACUAACCGAUGUUGAAGAAUCUACUCCUUGUCCUCGGUUAUUUGAUCUCUUACCUUUGGUUGUUCCGCCUUCAGAGCCUAUUUAGUAAUAGUUUACUUGUUUGUGCCCGGUGCCAACUAUGCUCGUAGUUGUUUCUUUAGUGGCCGAGUCAUCAAUUAUGUGGCCUCGAGUCCACAUGUCACUUUGCUAUUCGACAUUUUUCUUUAAUAAAUUUUACCCUAUACAGAGAGUCCCCCUACUUUCCGAUGGCAAAAACUUUGUGCCGUCGGAAAGUAGAUCAAAAUUCCUUUCUUGGCGGCAAAGUUUCUGAGCGAUCUCCGACUUUUGAAAGGAUGGGAGUCUCCUCACAUUUAAUGCCUCGAACACGUGUUGCCUCGUGAUUCAACAUGUACUUUUGCUAUGUUUCGAGGUAAUCAUGAUUUCACACCUUUUUGACCUAUAUAACUCGUCUCCUAAACAUAUCUCUCUUCUUCCAAUCUUUGCAAACUCUCAGUCUUCCUCAUCUCUUUCAGAACUCUCUACUUACCAUUUUUCACAAGUUUUCAUCCUCUUUCCUUCUCUACAAAGACAUGUCUUCAUACACCGCUAUCCCCAAGAACACUGGUUCUCUUUUUGGUGGUGGCCCGAAGAAAAGGAAAACCAAAGAAGUUGAAGUAGACAAUGAGCCCCCCACUAUCACUUUUAUCAUCCCUGUUAACUUUAACACCAUAGCAGACCUUCAAGAACAGAAGGCUUCUGUAGAUACCACCAAUGCUAGGUUUUGGCCGGUUUGUCUGUUUCCUUCUUCCAUCUGUGCAUCUCACAUUUCCAUUGUGAAGGAGGAUUGCAACCGCCCAAAUCUAGAAAUCUUUGCCCCCGAGGAGGUAGAUAGAAUCACCUUCUCUAAAGCAGAUUUCACCUUCUUAUAAACCUACCCAUUCUCUCUUGGUUUCUUUUCCUUAGGGUCGAAUGAAGGAAUCGACCCCAUAAUUUUAGAACUUUGCCACUGGUACUAGGUUUGCUUGGCACAGGUCAGCCCUUCAAUCUGGCGAACGGUAGCUUGCCUUCGCCAGAUGUGUUUUGAGUGUAGGGAAACCCUUACUCAGGAACAUAUGAUGAAUCUUUACUCCCCAAAGAUUUUUCCUGGGUGAGUAUUGAACCUUAGCAAGCAUAGCUACCAUGCUAUCCUCACUAGUGUGGAUGACGGCAACGAUCGCGGUUGGAUGGAGAGGUUUGUUCUUGUCUCCACCAAGGACAUUGUUCCGGCCAUAGCUCCGCCCUUUCCGGAGUCGUGGAAUCUCAAGCGUAAGUUUUUAGCCUUUUGUAUAUAUUUUUUAAGUUUGUUGCAGAUAUUACCAUAUCAUUCUCUUCUGCUGGGGAUUCUUCGAGGAGGUACCUUCGCCGGAGAUAGAGGAGAUUCUGCGGGCCUGCCUUCCAGCAAGGAUACUUUGCACUAUCCGUUUGGCCUUCUCGAGAUCAGUUAAGGCCUUGACACCGGCCAUAUUGGUUCUUGAUGAGGAGGAGAACGAUGAUGAAGCGGUCGCCCUUUUACAAAGAAGGAAAUUUUCAUCAGCUCGACCGGGUGCUCAGCCGAGAGAGCUCCGUUCUCCCACACCACAAGAGGUUCAGAACCUGUGGGGGGAAUGGAACUGGCAGAAAAUAUUGAUUUCUCUUUCCGAUACCUAUGGAUACUUCUGCUCAGAGGGGUUCAAGUUCUGAGCCUCUUUCUACUGACCCAAUAAUUGCCAUCUCUACUUCUCCAUCCACACUGAUGGCCUCUUCACCAACAACACCACCAGCUCUAUCCUUACCGUUAUCGGCUGCUUCACCGCUACCGGCGCCAUCAACAAGAGAUGGAGAUGCCUUUCCUCCCCGGUCUCCUGACCACGGGAACUUGGGGAACAUUUACUCAACUUUUCAGGACCCCUAAGGAAGGCGAAGUGUCACCCUUUUGGUUUUGAAGGGAUGCCAAAUUCUUUCCAAACUGAUGAAGCUCGCCAACUAUAUGAAGCCGCUGGCGACGGCCAGGGACUGGGGGAAAAUGGACUCCCUUUCCGGGGAGUGUCUUAUUAACAACAGUAUGCACUGCUCGGCACAGGUAAUAGCAUAACCCUUCUUUUUUCGUUCCUGGUAUCCUUCUUACCGAAAUACUGAUUCCUGACUUUGUCUUUUCUUAGUCCAAUUUGCUUGCUUCUGAGGUCCUACAGAAGUUGAUUCUGGAUAAGUAGGAAUUGGCUGCAGAACGAGAUUAGCUUUCGAUUGAGAAGACUCAACUUGCCGGGCGCCUCUUGGUUCUAGAGGCAAAGCUUGCCGAUAGGGCGGAGCUUGAGGACCGGUUGCAGUAGUCCGAGCAGGACUUGAUGGAUUCUAGCCAAGAAGCUGCCCAUCUGAAUAAGAGCCUGAGAGAGGCUAAAUAUAAAUGGGUACAGCUUCAUGAUAUUAUUACUGAUGUCACCGAACGUGAAUCAGCCAUCAUGUCCCAAGUUAAUAAUUUGGAGGAUGAUUUACGUGUCAGGACCGAGGAGGCAAGGGUUGCCGGAGAAGGUAAAGCCAAAAUGGAAGAGAGGCUUCUUAAGGUCAUGGAGCAAAACCGACUCCAUUCUUCUACUAACGUUAUAUUUGAUGCUAGAGACAGUGUAAUGAAGGCUGAGAAUGAGGAGCUCCAGGCAAAGGUCAAGAAACUUCGGGCUCGGCUCCAAAACCAGGAAGACUCCUUCAUCUUUGAAAAAACUUACUCUAUGUUUCACAUGAAGCGGAAGACGUUGGAGGAAGCUAAGGCAUGACUUGUAAAUAUCGAACAGAGCAUUGCCAAGGCCCGGGAACUAGAGUCCACUGCCCUUAAGAAUCUCCUUGCUCCGCCUUCUACGUCCGGUUCUUCGAGUUAUGCUUUUUAAUAUUCAGGAACUGAAGAAGAAGGAGAGGAUGAGAAUGAUGGUGGCUCUGCACCAUCAACGCGACAUCCCUCUUCCAUCGAAGCUGCUGAAGAUUCUUCUCUCCCGGCACCACAAGAAAAUACAUAGUCUUUUUUUUUUUGUAAUCUUGCCAAGACUCGAGUUCGAGUUUGGUUAUUAUAAUAAAUAAGAGGAUUUUUGUCUUUAUUGCUUUGAGAAAGUAUACUUUCUUUAUGCCUUUGUCAAGUUUUUUGAAACUUGUUCUGUAAUCAGAGGUUUUGACUCCUAGAUCUUCACCCGUCGGAAUUUACCCCUUGUCACGAGGGUUUUCAAAAUUUAAUUGAGUCUUUGAGGACUUAGGUUCCGGGAUUUUUAGUCCAUCCGGUAGUCUGCCCUUGAUCGUGAGGGUCUUAUAAAUUUAACUGAGUCUUUAGGAAUUUACGUCCAAAGACUCCGAUUUCAGGAAUUUUGACCAUCCGAAAUCAACCCUAUACUAUGAGGGUUUUAUAAGAGAGGGACCUCUUAUAUUUACGGUGCUCUUAAAGAGGACGUCUCCUAUUCAUUCCGGCACAAGCAUUUGAAGUUCUAAGUAACUUUCGAAUGAAAAAUACAUUAACUUAUCAUUUGUACUAGAAAUAACGAAGAAGUAAAAAGGCCUUUCACUUAUUCCUUUCAUUCAUGUGAAUACAUUUACAUUGCUUGCCAAUACAUAUGGUUGAUUUACAUGACUUAUUUCUACGGGGCUGGUUGUGCAGUCCCCGGUCCUAAGAAGAUUUUACUAUCGGGGAUGACUGUGCAGUCCCCGGUGUUAAGACACUCUUUGGUGUUUAAGAAAGUAUUCCCCCCCCCCCCCCACCCCUUCGUUGUUUGAGUGAGAAAUAUAUGAACUCGAGAACUGAGGGUCUUAUUCCUUUCGGUGAUCGUUGCUUCCUCAUUGAUGGGAACAACUUGUGAAUGACCAAAUAAUCUGUAGCUUGUGUAUGAUCAAAUAAUAUGAGAUCUUUGGGAGAUAAUCAUGAUAUCUAUCCAAAGAUUAUUUAACCAUCUACAAGUAGUUUGCCAUAUGAAUCAUUGCCUUUGGUUUCCAUAAUAUUUUUGACUGUCUUCAGUAUAUGUGUAUACUGGCCCCCUCCCUCCCACCCCCCCCCCCCAGUGUUCGAAUGCGAAGUCAGUGAAUUCGAGCACUAGAAGUCUUGUUCUCGGUGAUCAUUCCCUCUUCGUAGUAUAUUUUACAUUGCCGCCUCGUUAAAAAUCUUAUCGGAAAAAACCUGAUUUGGGACAAAAACCGGCGAAGGGUAAAAGAGUGCAGCACAUACUUUCAGUAUAAGUGACGGUAUUCAAGAAUAGUACCGAACUGAGAUGGGAUACAUUCCAAAUGCUAUGUAAUUCAUCACCGUUUUCAUUUUCCAACUUGUUAGAACCUUUUCCCGUGAUGGCCAAAACCAGGUAAGGUCCUUCCCACGUAGAUCCCAAUUUUCCUGCAUUGAGUUCCCAUGUGUUUUGAGUGACUUUCCUUAAGACCAGAUCUCCAACCUUGAAAUAUUGGAGAUUUGCCCUUAGGUUAUAAUAUCUCUCUAUCCUUUUUUUUUGUGCCAUCAUCCUCAUGUACGCCAGUCCCAUGUGUUCUUCAAGCAAAUCCAACCUUACCAGCAAAGCUUCCUUGUUUGCUUCUUCACUGGCCCGAGAGAACCUCAGAGUCAGUUCUCCUACUUCUACUGGAAUCAGGUCUUUGGAUCCGUACACAAGUGAGAAAGGUGUUGCUCCUGUGCUUGACUUUACCGUUAUUCGAUAUGCCUAAAGCACCUCCAGUAAUAAUUCCGACCACCUGCCCUUUGCAUCUUCUAGCUUUUUCUUGAGGUUGUGUAUUGUAACUUUGUUCGUUGACUCAGCCUACCCAUUAGCACUUGGGUGAUAAGGAGAGGAUGUGAUUAUUUUGAUUUUCAAGUUUUCUAGAAACUUUGUGACUUUAGAGCCUACGAAUUUUGGCCCAUUGUCACAAGCUAGAGCCUUCGGUAUUCCAAACCGGCACACAAUGUGAUCCCAUAUAAAGUCGAUCACUUCGUGUUCUCCAAUUUUUGGGUAGGCACCUGCUUCAACCCAUUUGGAGAAAUAAUCAGUCAAAAUCAAAAGAACUGUUACCUUGCCAGCCCCCAAUGGCAAGGGCCCAAUGAUAUCCAUCCCCCAUUUCAUGAAGGGCCAAGGCGAUGUCACCGAGUGCAAAAGUUCCCCUGGUUGAUGCAGGCGUGUCGCUGACACUUGUCGCAUUUAUAAAUGAAUGCUUUCGAAUCCUGUUCCAUCUGAGGCCAGUAGUAGCCAGCCCUUGCCAAUUUGAAGACCAAUGAAUUUGCGCCUGAAUGAUUCCCGAACAUUCAUUUGUGUACUUCCCCCAACAUGUAAUCUGCCUCGGAAGCUCCUAAGCAUUGAGCUAACGGCCCUUGAAGGAUCUUCUAUACAGUUGUCCAUCGGCGAGGAAAUAUCGUGCUGCUUUAGUUUGUAGGCCUCGUGAUGCCUUCGAAUCUUCGGGUGCUUACCAUGUCUUAAGUACUCAAUGAAUUCGUUCCUCCAAACCCAGACGAGGUUGGUAGAGUUCACCUUGUAAUAGCCAUCCACAUCCAAUACGCAGUGUAGCAGUUGAACAACUGAACCGGAAUUUAGACCCCUUUAUUUUCGUAGAAGAGCCCAAAUUAGCUAAUCUGUCUGCUUCCACACUUUCCUCUCUCGGGAUGUGAAUGAUGUUCCAUUUCUUGAAGCGGGAAAGUAGCAUAUGUGCCUUGUUCACAUACCGUUGCAUACGUUCUUCUUUAGUAUCGAAGACUGCGCACACUUGAUUUACCACCAACUGUGAAUCACAUUUGAUUUCAAUGAUUUCUUCUCCUACUCCCCGAGCUAGUUCAAGUCCUGCAAUCAAAGCUUCAUACUCUGCUUCAUUGUUAGUCAGAGUUAACAUUUCUAUGGCCUGUCUUAGGGUUUCUCCCGAAGGGGUAACCAGUACCACUCCAAGACCAGAACCCUUUAUGUUAGAUGCCACAUCCAUGAACAGUGUCCAAACUCCUGAUGCAGAUCCUGAUACCUGUUCUGCUUCUUUAGGAGCUAACAGAAGUAAACCCAAACUAAAGUCGGCCACAAAGUCGGCCAAAACUUGCGACUUAAUCGCAGUGCUGGGUUUUUAUUCGAUGUCAAAUUCGCUGAAUUCGACAGCCUAUUUGGCUAAACAACCCGAUAGGUCGGGUUUAUGAAGGACGCUUCUCACCGAAAAUGUCGUUACGAGGGCUAUCGGAUGACACUGAAAGUAGGGUCUUAGCUUCUGAGAGGCGACUACGAGAUCUAAGGCCAGCUUUUGAAGGUGUGGGUAACAUGUUUCCGCUCCCAAUAAGAUCUUGCUUAUGCAAUAAACAGGAAAUUGCAUAUUUUCCUCUUCACGGACCAAGACGGCACUUACCGCAACUUCUGAAACUGCUAAAUAAAUCAGCAAUUGCUCCACUUUAUUGGGUUUUGACAACAACGAGGGACUACAUAAGUACCUUUUCAGGUCCUUCAAUGCUUGUUGGUACUCCGGGGUCCAUACGAAAUUAUUCUUCUUUAUCAACAAAGCAAAGAAGUGAUUGCACUUCUCAGACGACGAUGAACCUGCUUAAUGCCGCCAAUCUUUCGAUAAGGCUUUGCACUUCUUUUACACUUGCGGUAUGUCUUCUAUGGCCUUGAUCUUAUCGGCAUUUACUUAGAUCCCUCUCUAAGAGACUAGAAAACCCAAUAAUUUUUCGGAGCCAACUCCGAAGGCACAUUUUUCGGGUUAAGCUUCAUAUUAUAUUUUUUGAGGAUGUCGAACGUCUAUCCCCUGCAUUAAGAGAAUUGACAAACAUAUUGUUAAUAUAUACUUCCAUAGUUUUACCAAUAUGUUUUUCGAACAUUUUAUUAAUGAGCCUUUGAUAUAUGGCUCCGGUAUUUUUAGUCCGAAAGGCAUCACAUUAUAGCAAUAUGUGCCGAAGUUCGUGAUGAAAGAAGUUUUUUCUUGAUCCUCCGGGUUCAUUCUGAUUUGAUUUUACCCGGAAUAGGCAUCGAGAAAACUCAUCAGCUCGUUCCCGGCCGUGGCGUCAAUCAUUUGAUCGAUGUUUGGCAAUGUGAAUGAGUCCUUGGGGCUUGCCUUAUUCAAAUCUUUUUAGUGUACACACAUUCUAAAUUUAGUGUUCUUUUUAAGAACAACCAGUAUGUUAGCUAACCAUUCGGGGUAGUUAACCUUCCGAAUGGAACCUAUGUUAAGCAAUCGAGUUACCUCUUCCUUCGGCUAUUGCGCAUUUCUUUUGCCUUACUGGAGGGACUCUGGGGUCCAUGCUCAAUUUGUACAUAGCUACCUCCGGUGGGAUACCUGUCAUGUCAGAGUGCAACCAUGAAAAACAAUCAGCGUUAACUUUAAGGAAAUUUAUCAUUUUUAACCUGAGUUCGGGAUCUAGUCUUGUCCCUAAAUGAAAUUUCCUUUCCAAGAAUUCUUCGAACAAAACCACUUGUCCGAGUUCCUCUGCGGUUGACCUUUUGGCAUCUAUUUCUUCUGGUAUCUUAAAAGAUCUCUGCACCUGGUACAAUUCCGAUGACACCUCAUUGGUUUCCUCUAGGGAGGUAGAAGGCACCGGUCCUUGUAAUUACUACGUGUUGGUAUCAUUUUCCUUGCUGCUGGCGGGGGUUAUUUCAUUCAUUUCCUUUGCUUCUGGUUGGUCUCCCCGUAUUUUCUUGAUCCCUUUGGGUGUCUGAAACUUCAGCAGCUGGUGGUAAGUUGAAGGCACAACCUUCAUCUCGUGUAUCCAAGGUCUAUCGAGUAUCACAUUGUAGACCAUGUCACCGUUUACUACCUCGAACGAGGUAGUCUUCGUUACUCCCUCAACAUGUAUCGGAAGUAAGAUCUCCCCUUAGGUGGUGACACUGGUCAAAUUGAAACAAGCCAGGAGCUUUGUUGUUGGUAUAACGUUCCUGGUUAGCCCAGCUUGUUCUAAAACUCUCCAUUGUAUUAUGUUGGACGAGCUUCUUGAGUCAACCAAAAUACGUUUAAUUUUAAAAUCAAGUACAUUUAAAGAGAUUACCAAUGCGUCAUUGUGCGGCAGGAGAAGGCCAUUGGUUUCUUCCUCUGUGAAAGUGAUGUCAUCUUCUGAGAGUUCUCGAGUCCUUUUACCGUGUGUUUCCGUUAACUCUAGCUUCUUUAUAGCCGAAAAUGUUACCACGUUGACUUCGCUACCCCCAAAUAUCAUAUUGAUGGUCAACCGAGGUGUUUCUGUUGCCGGCUUUGAUGACUUAGCGGCGUUCUGAUCUCUCCCAUAAUUGUUCUUGGAACUGUCACUUAGAAAUUCUCUGAGAUGGCCAUUUUUCAACAACAUAGCCACCUUCUCAUGUAGAUGCCAUCAAUCCCCGAUUUUAUGUCUGUGGGCUCUGUGAAAUUCGCUCCACAGAUUGAGAUCCCUCUGGUCCGGAUCUGACCUCAUAGGCUUCGGGAACCUAGCCUUUUUAAUAUUCCUCAUUAUUGAUACCAGUUCUACCAGGCUGACAUUGCAAUUGUAAUCGGAUACCCGAGGAUAAGUCGUAUCUUGAGGCACUAUUGAGACCUUUCCUGUAAUGACAUGUUGCUUCUGCUACAAUCUGUACCCCUGUUAGAGGUAAUUCUUCCGAUGACAUGGAGUCCCUAUUGUUCUGUCAUGUGUUCCUUUUGUAAGGUUGAAAAUGACUUCUGGAAGGCCUUCUGUCAGUGUUAAAGUUAGCCCUGGUCUUAUCGUGGUUUUGAUCUCGAGUUUUCCCCUUAUGGGAUACCGAGGAAUUCAAGUAAUCAUCUCCUAUCCUGAUUUUUGAUUCAUAGCGAUUAUGGACGUCUGCCCACGUAGUUGCUUGAAAUUCUAACAAACUCUCUUUCAGUUUAUGAGAGGCGUCCGAGCUAAAGGGAUUGAGACCCCUUGUGAAUGCUCUUGCCGCCCACUCAUCCGGUACCGCCGAUAACAGCAUCCUUUCCUUUUGGAAUCAGAUCACGAAUUCUCAUAGCAGUUCAGUUUCUCCCUGCAAAAUUCUGAAUAUGUCUGCCUUUCUUGCUUGUACCUUUCUAGCCCCGACAUGAGCCUUUAUGAACGAAUCUACAAGCAUUACAAUCGAGUCAAUAGAGUGUUCGGGUAAGAGAGAGUACCAAGUUAAGGCGCCUCUUGUUAGGGUUUCGCCGGAUUUCUUUAAUAGAACAGAUUCGAUCUCCUGUUGGGCCAAGUCAUCUCUCUUCACGGCCGUUGUGUAAGUGGUGAUGUGUUCCUAUGGGUUCGAGGUUCUGUCGUAUUUCGGAAUGCUCGGCAUCUUGAAUUUUUUUUGGAUUAAUUUCGGGGACGCGAUCGGCUUAAACGGUAGUUGUGUACUUUUUGGAAUAUGGUCCCUUUAAUACUGGUGGUGCUCCCGGUAUCUCGUCCAUCCGCGCGUGAAAAUCCUUCGCAUUUUGAUCCGUUCGUUCAUUAAUCUCUCUCGUGAAUUCCAUAAGUUCGAUCUUGAACGGGUCGCCUCCAUUAUUUAUUUUUCCUAACCCGCUGUCGGUAUCGCCUGCUUCGGUGAAGCCGAAAUCUUCCCUUGGGAUAGCAUUUUUGGUCCUUUGAACAGUGUAAUCCACGGGAGCAGCAGGAAGAGCUUGUGCACGCACAUUGGCGUUGUUGGAGGCCCCUGAUAAUGCUUGCUUUUAUUCCGUGAUCACUUGAUCUUGCCUGAAAAGGUGAUCCAUGAUCACCCUUUGUUGCUCUCUUAAAAUAUUGACUGUUUCUACUACGAGAUUAUCUUCCGUGUCAUCGGGAGUGGGAUCCCUCGUGUGUUGAGUGUCUCGGCCUCUUUGUAUUGGAGUAGUUUCUCCCCCAACGUUGUGGGUCUCCUUCUCUGAGUCUGUGCGUUGGAACGCAUUCUCGUGUUCAUCGAGUUUUCCUAUAUUGCGAGAACCCUUGAUACCAUUCGCUGCCAUUAUCUGGUUUUAUUUCUACUUGGCAAAAGAAUCAAAACUUGUUAGAAACAAAUGAACGGAUCGGAAACAAUCCCACUAUUGUCUAUGCCCCACGGUGGGCGCCAAACUAUUUACCCGCUAAACAGUACAAUUGAAUUUGUUAUGUGGAGUAUAGACACAUUGAUUGAUUCGACUGUAUUUGUUCGCACAACAAAUACAACUAAGGCAAAAUACACAUAUACAAAAAAAUAAAACAGUCUUGUUAAGAGUCGAACUCAAGACCUCCGCUAAUUAAGCAGGUGCUCUAACCAACUAAGCUACGAGAGCUUGUUGAUCUCUUAUUUCAAAUCAUCAAAAUAAUUAAUCUCUUAUUUCAUGGAUUUAUUAAAAAAUUCAAAUACACCUACGAAUGGUAAAUUUACUGAAAAUGUAUCUACAAAUAGUACAUACAAUAUAAAUAUUUAAUGUAUCACGUAACUUUCCUAGUUAAUUGGCCUCCACAAAGUAGUCUUAUUUAUGAAUAAAAACAUCGAUAAAUGUUUGGGUAGUCUUACCCUGGUAAUAACUUAAAGUUGAGCUUUAAGUUGAAGGCAACACAUACUCAAAUCUUUUCUUUUAAGGGGAAUUUUUAGAAAUGACUAUUGUUUGGAGGCUUAUUGCUGAGCAUAGCUAUAAUUUAGCUAAUUAUUUUCUAAUUUAGCUAAUUAUAUUCCGUAGCUACUAAUUGCUUGUCAUGGGAUGUAUGUCGUUGUAUUCAAUUGAGUUAUAUAUAUUGUAUUCAAUUCGGACUUAUUCGUUCUUAUAUAUUUUACAUUGUAUUCAAUUUUACUGUAUUGAAUUCAGUUGUAUUCAAAUAAAAAAAAUAAGAAAUAGGGUGUAUACCACUGUAUUCAAUUCAGUUGUAUACACUAUAUUCAAUUCGGCUAUAUUCAUUCUUAACUAUUUUACAUUGUAUUCAAUUUCACUGUAUUCAAUUCGAAUGUAUUCAAACAAUAAAAAAUUAAGAAAACAGUGAUAUUCGGCUGUAUUCAAUUCAUUAUAUUCAUUCAUAGCUGCUUUUAUACUUUAUUCAAUUUACUGUAUUUAAUUUGGUUGUAUUCAAACAACAAAAAUUCAAAAUAUACAAGGAUCUGCCGCAAAAAACACCCUUCAAAAAUACAUAAAUACAGGCAAAAAUACAAAAAAUAAUAUGUAUUCGCAUUGAAAAAUACAUAAUACACUCAAAUUGAGUGUAUUUGUAUAUGAUACAAUGUAUUUGUAUUAUUGUAUGUGACUCAACAGCAAAGAAGAGAAGAAAGUUCGCCGGAUAUGACGCCUUCCUGCCAAGCAAAACAUUGUAUACAUUGUAUUAAAACUAAAAAUGGAAACAGACAAAAAUUCGGCCAGAUCUGAGAAUAUACUAUCGCAUUGUAUCUACCAAAAUCUAGUCAGACAAACAAAAAUCCGGCCAUAAUGUAUAUUUCGUUGUAUUUAAUUCGGCCACAUGAAAUGAAAUAUACUCAAAUCUAAGAAAAUACACUCAGAUCGGAGAAAAUAUACUCGGAUUUGAGAAAUGCGGUCGGUUGGCCAUGGAUUUCAGCCAGAGAUGACGGCGGCGAUGGAGGUAAUGAUGAGGCCGGUCUGAAUUGAGGAAUUUGAGGUACUAAAUUGAGGAAUUUUCAUAGCAAGUGAGAGAAGAGAGAGUACAAAGGAGAGAAAAAAAUAAAAAGGAGGUCGGAUGGUAGUGUUCCAGCGGGUUAGGCCGGCGGUGGUUCUCCAGCGAGAUUGUAACACCAGAUGGAUAGAAAGUUUAAGGGAGAUGGGGGAGGUGGCUAGGCUAUAGCACGGAGAUGAGAGGAGGAAGAGAGGAAAAAGUUACUUUAGGGUUAGAAAUCCCUUAGAGAGGGUAUUUGCUAUAAAAUCCAAUACGUAGCUAUGUAUUAUAAAUAAUUUAAAGUGAAUUUAUUUAUGAUAAAUAUAGUGUAUAAUUUAAUUGUACCAUGUACAAAAUUCCUUCUUUCAACCUGUAAAACAGGCAUUGAACGAAACCCGGGUCUAGAUUUUGUUAGUAAAAUCCUCCUCCAUUAGGCUCCCCCAAAAGAGCCCGUUAUUGCCAUGGUACAAUAAGCCCAAUCAUAAAAGCUUUUAAGUCCAUCAUUGUUGUUCGACAAAAUCACAAAAUGUCCUAAAAGAAGAAUUAAUCCAAAUAGUUAUUCACCCAACCGCUUAAAUUAAAAAUAACCGGUGAAGAUAUAAUAUAACCAUAAUUCAUAUAUUAAAAGAAUUAAUUCAAAUAGUUAUUCACCCAACCGCUUAAAUUAAAAAUAACCGGUGAAGAUAUAAUAUAACCAUAAUUCAUAUAUUAUAUGUGUAUAAAUAGGAUGGACUAAACAAAUUUUCAAAUGUAUAUGUAUCAUUGCCAGCUAAGUUCGUAAGAUUAAAAUAGUAGGAUUGAAGACGGGACGAUAUAUGACUCCAGAAAUGCAGUAGGACGGUAAAAGUUUUCCUUUCCUCAACAGAACGUAGAGCUUUCAAGUUCGACCUUUGGGUAGGAAAAACAUUUCAAGAAGAAUUUAUGUCACUCAUAACGAGCAUUUUUGACAUAAUUUUAAAUACGGAAUUAAUAGAAGUAGUCGUUGAUGGGAUCAGUGGCGUAACCACGCUUUACGCGACCCUUUGUCAAGGGUGGUCAACGCACAUUGUUCACCAAAAUAUUAUACUGUAUAUAUAAGUUAAGUACUACUUUAUAUCUAUACAUUACUAAAAAUCUGUUAUUUUCCGUCCGAAAAAAUAGAGCAAUAUCGGUUGGUAAUAGGCAGAAAGCGACCAAUAAGCGACCAAGUAAGGGCAGUCGGAAAAUUAGUGGUGGUAGAGUAUACCGAACAAAGUUGGUCGGAAAUUACCGACUAAUUUUGGCCGGUCACUGUAAUUGACCAUCUGACAUUAAUUUAAUAAUACCGACCAUUGUUGGUAGGUAUAUUAUUUUAAUAAUUAAAUAAAACCGACCAACAUUGGUCAGUAUGUAAACUGGAAUUUUUUUUAUUUAAAUGAAUUUACCGACCAACUUUGGUCGGUAACUUAUUUAUUUUAAUUGACCUUUCCGACCAAAGUUGGUCGGUGUCUUAAAUAAUUUUUAUUAAAUUUUUUAUAUAAUAUUAAAAGUUACCGACCAAAGUUGGUCGGUAAUCUUGAUACAUAUCUUAGUUACCGACCGAUAUUGGUCGGUAUUUUUAAAUUUCUGAUAAUUUUUUUUGUGUUUACCGACCAAUAUCGGUCGGUAGUUAACAAUAUUUUUUUUUAUCUGUUUGCCGAUCAAAGUCGAUCGGUUUUUUGGGUUUAUUUUUAGCAAGAAAUGCCUAUUUUGGUAGCUACACCACCUGCCAAAAGAAAGCAGAAUAUUCAAACAACCAAUAACCCCCAAAUUUCAUAUCCAAUCAACACCACUUAACCAAACAUUCAACUAAACAACCAACCAAACAUUUCUAACCAAAUAAAAUAGAAUCAAAACUUAUAAACAUUCAACAUUGUUAAUACUAAUUCAAAACAAAUUCUAACUAUUUAACAAUUCAAUUAAAAUAACUCAAAGUAUAUUAAACUAAUGUUCAAGCAAUAUUUUCUACCUCAUCCCCACCAUCUGAUGAACUUUCAUCUAUAAGACGAUAAGAACGAUCAUGUGGAGGACGAUCAUACCGAUCACGUGGAGGACAAGAAGACCAAUCACGUGGAGGACAGGUGAAACGAUCAUAUGGAGGUUGGACCUCUGAUGAUGACUCAUGAGACCGGGGCAGAAAGGCUCCAGUAGAUAUGAGAGUUCUGAUUUGGGCUUGCAUACCUAAAAAUUGUGCAUCUCUAAGCUUAUCCCUUUCCUUGGCCGCUUCAAGCUCGGAUGUAAACAUUGCCACCUUCUGCUCCAUAGCCGAGAGGGCCUCCCUAUUAAGUUCCUUGUGGUGUGAGGAAGUCUCUAUGCCUUGCAUUCCACACCUGUAGCGAUGGAAUGAUUUCUCAAGUACCCCGUAUACCUUUCCCUUUUUUGGACUGCCAACAACCUCCAAUCACAUUUUUUCAGCAUCCUCGUCUGAAGGUUGGGUUGGCUCGCCCGAUUCAGCAGUUUGCUAACUACGAAUGAACUCCUUAUUAAGAAUUCCCCGGCCACCCAUUGCCUUAUCAAGUCAUCCCAUAAAUAAUGUAGACACUAGCUUGGCUUCUUGUUCUUCUUUCUAGCAUCCGAGAAAUGAUCGGCCAAUCUCUUCUGGGCUUUAUACUAAAUAUUUGAAGCUACAGCCUCACUAUAGCGGUCCUCCCAUACACACUUACUCUGCAUAUCAAAAUGUAAAUAUUAGAUGGAAAUAUAUUAAACAUAAAUUCUUAAACUGCUUAAAAGAACAUGUAUACCUUAAACUGAUUGAAUAUUUGCUACUUCAGCGAGUAUGGAAAAUCACUCCAAGUCGCAUAGGGGCUAUCAUAAUUUUGCAAAUGGCAUUGGUGGAUUAUCUUCGUAGUCUUCUUGCUUGGUCUGAACCUGCAAUAUAACAGUAAAAACACAUGAAAAUAUUAGUUAAUGAAUUAUAAAACAAUAAAGUAAAAAAUAACAAAUAACUCUUACUCAUUCCCCUCAGGGACUACGAUGAUCCUUCCAUAACAAUCAUACUGCACUACCUAUGGAUCAUCAUCCUCAGCAUAUGUAUCAGAGGAAUGCGUAGACGGUGUAGAGGGGGGCUCAAUGCUAUGAUCUCGCAGGCUAAGACCAGAAAUGGAAGGAGUAGAUGAUGAAGAUGGUUGCGAUCCAUGUGGCUGUGAUAUGGAUGGUUGCGAUCCAUGUGGAUGCGACACAGAUAGCUGUGAGCCAUGUGGCUGUGAUAUGGAUGGUUGCGAUCCAUUUGGCUGCGAUCCAUGUAGCUGCGACACAUAUGGCUGUGAUCCAAGUGGAUAUGAGGCCGGUGGCUGCGAUCCAAAUGGAUGUGAGUCAGCUGCAUGCGAUCCAAAUGGAUGUGAGGCAACUGGACUAUAUGACGGACGUAUAGUCCUAUGUCCCUGUGAUGGCAAACCCAGAGUCUGCAUGAAAGUAUAAGCAUGGUGCUGUUGUGGAAGCUCAGUAUAGCUAUGUGGUGGAGGAAAAGACAUAGGCAUCGAAUGAUGCUUCUAUGAAGCAGCUGAAAAUGAGGGAGUAGCAUUAUCCGCAGAAUUUACCCUCCUCCUUCCCUUCCUAGAACGACCCCGUGAACUACCUGGAUCAUCAUUACCUUUACCCUUGCCUACCAUCUGCAUAAUUUAAUAUAUAUUUAGAAUGAUAAAAUAAGAAACUAGUUAUAACACGAGAGUGCUUUAAAAAAACCAACUUGUUAAUCCUCCUCGGCAAAUUCUUCCUCGUCCGAGAAUUCUUCGUCCUCACUUAUUUCAAUUUCAUCAGCUGAUUCUUCGUCCUCAUUUUCUAUAGUUGUUACUUCAUUUAUAUCAACUUCUUCUAAUAUACGUUCAGUAUGCUCUAAAUCAUUUUCUAACUGAUCAUCCACUAUUUUGUGAACACUUGAGAUACCGUAUUGAUAUGCAACAUCCAACACAUUCUCGACUUCUACCCUACUCACAGGUUUAGUUUUGAUUACCACCCACCAAUCCGACUGAAUCCUCUACAAUGGACAAGGGGCAUAAUACACUUGCCUAAUGUUAUAUGCAAUUAUGAAAUGCUCAUAGCGAUCAUACUCCCUCGUAUGAUUAACCUUAAUUAUGUUGUAUUGCUGAUGCACUUUUGUACCUCUUAUUGGAUUUGGGUCAAAUCACUUGCAUCUAAAGAGUACCAAUUUCUUGUAUGGCCAAGCUGUAUAUUCUAGUUGUAUUAUUUCUUUGACCACACCAUAAUAAUCAAUAUCUCCAACUUGGUUGCCAUAACCAUCUUUAACCCACACCUCAUUGUUAUUGCUUUUUUUAUUAUGAGAGCAAUCCUCCGUAUGAAACUUGUAACCAUUCACUACGUACUUAGACAUUGUUAUGACCUAAAGCCCAGGUCCCCAAGAUAUAUCUUUUAAAAAUUUAAUUUACACUAUUAUUUGGAUUAUUUACCUACAGAUAGUGUUGAAAAAAACUNNNNNNNNNNNNNGGAACUUUAGAAAUACUUUAGGAUAAACUCCCAAAGUCUUUCAACCACGUAUCAAAUCUCGUAUAUAUAAUAUCAUUACCAAAUUGAGCCAUAAAGUGACAGCGACGCAUCAAAACAAUUUAAUAGUUGCAUCAAUAUAAUCAUUGUAUAUUUUACAUUUUGAUUAACAAUAAAUUAACACUUACUUAAGAAAUGAUUGAACUUCAGAAAAAUUUAGCAACACAUACAUUGUAGCUGACUUGUACUCCACAUCAUUUAAACUUCUCUUUCUAACAUCCUUAGAACAUCAGCCUGGUUGAUUGAAGAUGGACAUUGGUGGAUAUAAUGGAUCAUUCUCCCAUGCGACAUUGUGCUUAUUGGGCCUGUUUUUAGAACAUGGCACGUUACUCUCGAAAUAGUAAGAACAAAAAUGUGCAGUUUACUUUGCAAGAUAGGCUUCGCAUGUAGAUCCUUCAAUCUUAUUCCUCUACUCAAAAAAUUAUUUGUAUUUUCCAAUUGUCCUGCAUAAUGUCGUAUUAGACAAGAGCAUUCAAAUAAAAUAGAAGAUUACUUCAAACUUAUAAUAAUACCUCUCAAAGGGACACAUCCAUCUGCAAUGAACAGGUCGUCCAAGUCGUGCCUCGUAUACAAGGUAGAAUGGAAGGUGUUCCAUCAUAUCAAAGAAACCACAUGAAAAUAUUUUUUCCAACUUAUUUGAAAUUAAAAGAAUGUUCUAAUCCAUACGAAGUAGGUUUUCUUCCCUCAAUGUGGUAGAACACAAGUCUUUGAAUAACAAACUAAUAUCUGUGAUGGGUUUUCAGAUUCUUUCGGGCAAACCGCAUAAUGCAAUAAGUACUAAUGUCUCCAUGAAAACAUGACAGUCAUGACUUUUCAAAUGGCUCAACUUCCCUACUUCCACAUCUACACAUUUUCCCAGAUUCGACGCAUAACCCUCAGGCAUCUUUAAGCUCGUAACCCAAUCAUAAAUUUGUCGUCUCUCCUCCAAGUGAAUGUGUAACUAGCUUUGGGAUCGAACACCUUACCAUUGUUCGUUGUCUGCAAAUACAAUUCAGGUCACCUGCAAUACUCUUGUAAGUCCAUUCUAGCCUUCGGGUUAUCUUUUGACUUAUCCUUAACAUACAUCACUUUGUUGAACAAAUUAUCAAAAUAAUUCUUCUCAAUAUGCAUAACAUCAAGAUUGUGUCGAAGAACAUUACCCUUCCAAUAAGUCAACUCCCAAAAAAUGCUCUGUUUCGUCCAAUUAUGAGUAACACCAUAUCCGAAAAAUCUAGAAGGUGGAGCCUCUAUAACUUUAGUGAAGUUCUGCACCCUCUCCCAAAUUUCCUCACCGAAAAGUAUCGGAGGUGUAGAAUCAUGUUCCACUUUAUUCUUUUUGAAUGCAUUCUUCAUCCUUCUAAACUCAUGAUCAACUGGCAAGAACUGGCGGUGACAAUCAAACCAUGAUUGUUUGCGGCCAUGUUUUAAGGUGAACGCUUUACCAUUUUCCAUGCAGUAAGGACAAGCUAACUUUCCAACAGUCAUUCACCCAUACAACAUUCCAUACGCAAGUUGAAAUUCUGCUUGGUUGAUAUGUCAUAUGUUUCAACACCAUCAUACCACGAAUGUUUUAGCUCAUCAAUCAAAGGUUGCAAAUAUACAUCAAUCAAACUUUUUGGAUUACGUGGAUCGGGGAUAAUACUAUUUAAAAAUAUAUAUGGACUUGUCAUACACAACUCAAGCAGUAGAUUGUAAGGUAUAAGAAAGGCAUGCCAGCAUGAAUAUGGUGUCUUUAAAGACCCAAAAUCCACUAUAGGUCGUGAUGGUAUCUAACGCCGCCAUCAGGCAAGCCAACAGUGAUUAAUCUACUAAGUUACUCAUUUUAUUAUUUUUAAAAUCAUGAAUCCCAUUGAAUAAGUAGUGUAAAAUCUAGUACUCGUAGAAAACCCGUGAUUUUAUUUUUCAAUUUCCGUAUAAGGUGUAAAUUACAAGGUGAAAUGCUAAUAAUUACGCGAACUACAAUAAUGAACACCCAGUAGGUACCUCCAAAACCCGGUGUCACAAGUGCAUGAGCAUUUACUAAGGAGUACAAUAAUAAUACAACAUCUAUCUAGAAUAUAAAUAAGACAGGAUAAAAUAAAUAGUACGAUGGAGACUCUGUGGACUGCGAUGUGUAGCAUGGAAUGCAGCUCAUAUGAAGUCUCCUCAACAGCAGCACCUGCGCGCCAAGAAGAUCAUCAAAUGAACCUGUCAGAUCCUGCACAUUUAGUGCAGAAGUGCAGCAUGAGUACGUAAAUAAACGUGUACCCAGUAAGUAUCUAGCCUAACCCCGGAAAAGUAGUGACGAGGGGUCGACGUCGACACUUACUAGUGGUCUAAUAAAUCAAUAUGGUAAAUCAUAAACAGAUAAGAGUACAACAAUAGUAUUGAGGUAAAUAUGUAACUAACACAAUCUUCCUAAAUUUGUUUUAACGAUAUCAAUUUCUCAAUCUCGUAUUCUAUCUCGACACCUCGAAAAUAUCAAGUGCCAAUAACAAACGGAUAAGAAUUCCCAUCUAAAAUGCAAGGCAUCAAUGGAAGGAAAAUCUCGCAAAUAUUCGGACUGCUGGCGAUAUAAUGCACGAUUAUGCCGAGGUCGUACGGCCAGAUCUCAGAAAGAAUAUGAUAUUGCCGAGGCGAUCGGCCCUAUCCCAUAAUAACGUGUACACCGCCGAGGGUCGAGCGGCACGAACCAUAGAUGCAUCUAUUAUACUGUCGAGGCGACUUGUCCGCUCCCAUUAGAGUGUGGUACAUAAUCCUGCCGAGGCGUUCGGCCCGCUCCACAAGAAAGGAAAGGAAUUUUCGAAUUACGAGACACGAGCUUACGAUAUAGUAUAUGAACACAAGGUGAGUAUAACCUGUAAUAUUUCUCAAAUAACUUGCCAACAACUCAAGGUAAUAAGGCUAGGCCUAAUGUAUAUUUAUAUAUUUCUAAAUCAAGUUCAAUUAUAAUUUCAAUUAAUUAAGCUAGCAUAAUGAAUUCAAAUAUUACAUGGUAAAGUCCUAAGUCUACCCGGACAUAAACAUGUUUUAGCUACGUACGGAUUCUCACCGCCUCGUGUGUACAUAGCACCCACAACUAAUAGCACAUAACAGUUACAUCUCCUAGGGGUAGUUUUCCCCUCACAAGUUAGACAUGAGACUUACCUCGCUCCAAAGUUCCAUAAUCGGCUCCAACGCUACUCUAACACUCAACUCCAAGCCAAAUAUUUCGAAACUAGUCAAACAAUCACAUAAGCCAAGAAACAUAUGCUCCAACAUCAUAAUUAAUUCAUAAUACUUCCCAAUUCCGCUCGAAAAGUCAAUAAAGUCAACCCUCGGGCCCACUUGCUCGGAUUUCGAAAAUAUUUGAAGAUAAACUUUAUCCAUAACACCACGAACUCAAAUAUAUGAUUUAUUCCUAAUUUCAUAUCCAAUUUAGUGGUAAAAAUCCAAAAUAUCAAUUUCUAGGUUUUUCCUUAAAAUCCCAUAAUUUUCAAAAGUUUUCAUGUAUUUACAAGCUCAAAUUCGUAUAUUUAACUCACAACUUGUAGAAAUUACUUACCUCAUAAUUGACGAUGAAAAUGACGCUCCAAAAUCGCUCCAAGGUCUGCUCCCAUGGAAGAAAUGAAAUUAAAUGAAAAUAAGCCAAACCCACAUACUUAACAAGGCCCCCUGCGGUCAUCGCACCCGCGGUCACUUGACCGCAUCUGCAGUUUCACAGGUGCGGUCCAAACAUCACAUCUAUUAAAACCCUAUGACUCCCAGCACUUCACUUUCACGGACAAGAGUUCGCUUCUGCGGGUCCGCUUCUACGGAAUUCCUCCACUUCUGCGCUCCUUCAGCCCAAGGCCCCUUCCCCCUUCUGUGACCCACAGCCUGCAUCUGCGAUCUCGCAGGUGCGGAAACUCCCUCGCACUUGCGCAACCAUAGCCUCUCACCCAGCACCACUUCUGUGACCCCUUCUAUGCAUCUGCGACUUCGCAGGUGUUGAAUAUUUCCUCGCACAUGUGCCCCCAGACCUUCUUCACAAAAAUCGCACCUGCGACGACUCCCUACCCACUUGCGUGACCGCACCUGCAUGCACCUACGGCCACUCCUUCCGCAUGAGUGAUUACACUAGUCUUCAGCAGCAACAACAUCUCCUCAAAUCCGAAUUCCAAUCCAUCUUAAAUCCAUUACAAACUCGAGGCCCCCGUGACCCUAUCCAAAUGUACCAACACAUCCCAAAAUGUGAUAAGGACUUAGUCGAAGCCUCAAAUCACGUCAAACUACAUCAAAAUUACGAAUCGAUGGCCAAAAACCUUUCUUCUAACUAUCCAACCUUCAAACUUUGCCGAGCACGUCGGAAUUACACUUAAACAUUUCGGAAUGAUACCAAACUUUAUGCACAAAUCACAAAUCAUGAUACGAACCUAUUUCAAGGCCCGGAACUCCAAACGGACAUCGAUAACAUCAAAAUCCACUUCAAACCUAACUUAUGAAAUUCUACAACUUUUAAAAUGCCAACUUUCCAUAAUAGGAGCCGAAAUACUUUCAGACCACUCGAUACUCAACCCGGCCAUACGUCCAAGUCCGAAAUAAUCAUACCAAUCUAUUGGAACCUUCAAAUCCCGAUUUCGAUGUCGUUUACUCAAAAGUCAAACCUUAGUCAACCCUUCCAACUUAAAGCUUUCGAAUUUAGAAUUUUCUUUCCAAAUUAACUCUGAACUUCCCGAAAUUCAAUUUCGACCAAACGUACAAGUCAUAAUACCUGAAGUGAAGCUACUCAAGGCCUCAAAUCGUUGAUCGACGCGAUAGAGAUCAAAAUGACUGAUCGGGUCAUUACAUUCUCCCCCACUUAAACAUACGUUCAUCCUCGAACGUGCCAAGAACUACUCUGGAGUUGUCCAAAAUCAUUGUUUAACACCUCGUGCACCUACCCGUGCCACCAUAACCCAUGUGAGCAGGUUAGCUUGAGCCAGACUGAAGAUUCUUCCUAUAACCUUAGCCAACAAGCUUUAGAACCAAAUUCCAACAUCCGAAAUUCUCCACGAGACCCAAUUCUAACAUAUGAACACUGCAUCAAUCACCACACACUAUAUCAACAUGAUCAUGCUCCUCUGUUGAAAUCACGCCAUGCAUCUCAUAAGUCGUUUGACCAUAAUAGCAUCCUCCGACCACAAUAGCUGAAAUUUCACGAAUCUGAUGCUCGCAAUACACCUCAUAACACAUGUAAGCCCAGCUCCAACUCUUGCAACACUACCACGACGAAAGAGAUGUGUAGAAACUCAUAACCACCUGCCGAAUCAACAAAUCAUGGAGUCUCUCCUCCUGACAAGAACUAUUAACUCACUAUGAACUGAAUAACGAUAUUUGCUCUUUAAUAUACCUGAUAUAAAUCUGAUUGCACUGAUUUUAGGUCCAAUAAUAUCGUCUCAUCCAGUACAAGCUGCUCAGGAAAUAAGCCCCUCAAACACUGACCAAGAUCUCAUAUGAUGUCAUCAAUGCGCCGAUAAGCCAUAACUUGAAUAUGACACAUAAGGAGGAACGAACUAUGGAAAAGAAUUACCCAGCCCACGUAACGAAUAAAACGGUCGAACAGAUGCCAUGAACCCUUUCUCAGAGAAUGAGAAACAAAAUACACAAGAAUAGAUAUAGGGAACCGUACUCAACAUCUCACUAUUGCGGCGUGCAACCCGAUCCACACAUGAUACCGUUGCGACGUGCAACCAGAUCCAAACAACAUACCCGUGGUGGCGGGACACCCGACCACACAUAACAAUAAAUAAGGAAAUACCCAUCAAGCUAUAAUGCUUAUACCUACAAAAUACCUGAAUAUCGACCACAAGCACGCUAAGUGCAAAAAUACAACCCUGGGGAGAUGGAUAGCGCCAUACGCUACAAAUCCCAGGCACGACUAAGGUGCAUUAAAUGACCUGCAUCUCGAGAGCCAUCCUGCUCAUAUAAUACCACAAAAUACACAGAGCCACAACAUAUGUGUGAAUAAUCAAGUCGUCUCACAACCCACAUGGCACAAUAGAGUAAUACAUAGAAUAGCUGACAACGAGAAUAACAUCCAACGCCCGAAGAAUCCUCUGUAUGCAAUGCUAUGCCGAAUUAACGCAUCCGACCUGACGUAGAGCACACAUUCACAUUAGACCCACCAACGGACCUCAAGCCGAUCCUGAUUAUACCAUACUGGGCCAACAACCUUUCGAGGAUCCACAAUGGCCCUAUUCAUGGCACACACGAGCAGUCAUCCUAAUCCGGAAAAAACUUCCACAGUUCACAACCAAAGGAAUAGAGUGCCUUUCAGGCAUAAACUCUCACAUUAACGAUGGUACCAUAAUCUCCAUGCUUGGUUUCAAUCUUUAACAAUCAAGUAACUAACAUGUCACACUUAUACAGAUGUCCCCGUGUGAUAUGCUGCCACGACCUUCCGUACCAGGUAGCUAGGUCUGCACCUCCAUACCACCAACAAUGCUAAUGUUAUAAAGCAAAUCGAGAAUCCGCAAAUCAGUACACAAAGCCUCUUACACAGGACACCGUUCUCAGGUGACACUAAAGAAAAUAUCAGCUUGCUUUGAACAUCUGAAUUCUUUUCUGCUCAUCCGAGCUCGUGACAUUCUUGUCAACAACGAACCGCAACCUUGAUCCUCAACUUCCAAUUUUCAUGCCGCUCAUUGCACCUAUCAUGUCGCUAUGUGAGAGUACAAGAAUUUCAUCAUAACUCCUGAACCACCAAUAGAAUAAACACUUCAUCGUCUAGAACCCUUUCACUCAACAUAUUUCAGAGGAACGAUGUCAACACGCAACCGAAUUCCCAUAACUGCAGAAAAUACAAAGCUCAAUAUGCGGUCUAAACCACCAUAACUCUUCCGGGAUCUAUCUACACAUAGAAGACCAUUAUAAUCAAAUACCUCCAAAUCAAUCAAAUUACGGUGGCUGUCAAGCCAGCACGUACCUCCACAAAUCACAUGUACAACUUUAACACACCGAAGGAACUGAUCAUUGCCUCAAUCACGUUGAUUCAAACCAUUACCAACCGACCCAACUUCCUCUGAUUUACUCUUGACCUACCUUAGAAAUAAUAAUAGCUCCAUUCAAAAACAUAACAAAACUAGAUUAACACUCAUCCCGAGUGACCCAAAUCACGAGAUCAUAUUAUCUCAAUACCCACUGUAAAAACUCGAUCUUUAACCACACAACGGACCCAAAAUCCUUAGACACCGCACUUACAUCCUUGAACCCAUUAGAACCACUAUUGAGAGUCACCCACUCUGUCCUGGUCCCGGGUAUAACCAAACUCCAACGCUCUGCUAGCACAUGAACACCCUCUCAAAGAAGCAACCGACUGAAUUCUUUUCCUUGUGCAUCGCACCCACAAGAAUCAUAAACUCUGAGUCUUCCCAAAACUGCACAUGAAUCGAUAAGGCAAAGUAUAGCACACAUUCAUCAAGUUCUUUGCUCGAAUUACCCCUGAUAUUUUACUUUCUUAGUCAUAAUAAUCCACCAAUGCACCGAUAACCAAAAAUCGCACAAGAAGACAACCACACGAUCCAAUUAUAGACUGUGGGCUCCCCCACUUAGCUUUAAGCUAUAAUUACUGUAAGGCCCCGUAAAUAUUGGAAUAGUUGAGUCAAAGCUCGUUUCAUAAUCUUUCUAACAUUAUUUCAUUUCAUUGGCACCAUUGGCCACAAUUAUAAAAUCACUCUUAGCAUGUUGGCCGUACUUAAUAUUUCAUGCUCACCUUUUUACUUUCAACUAUAAACAUCAUCAUCACUAACAACAACAAUUCAAAUCAAGGUGUGUAGUACACAUGUGAGCAAUUAAAAGUCUAAGGCACAUAGAGAUAUUUAACAAAAUUUGGCAUAAUAGCAUUCGUUUGAACUCGAUACAUUAUAAAGCACAUCCCAUACUUGUAAACAUCCUCAAUUGGUAAUAUAACAUGAAUAAAGCAUUUAGGAUUCUUAUUGAACAUAUAUCUUUCAACACAAACUUACUCGGAACAUAUAUCUUUCAACACAAACUUACUCGGGACAUAUAUCUUUAAACACAAGCCACUCGGGUCUUACAUAAUUUACAUGAACAUCGUGCUUUAAUAAUUAUUUUGAGACAUUAUUAGGAAGAUAUUCAUGAUCUCAGCUCAUUUGAGCAUUUUAUAAAACACUAGGUGUUUAAAUCUAACUACAAGGUUCUUCUACAAGAUUUCCUUCACUCCACAACCUAAUAUUUACUAUUUGAGCUCAACAAUCUUUCCAAGAAGUUUUGGAACAUGCUAAGGAGUUUUGGGAAUGUCAAGAUGUUCAUGUAAAUUAUGUAAGACCCGAGUGGCUUGUGUUGAAAGAUAUAUGUCCCGAGUAAGUUUGUGUUGAAAGAUAUAUGUUCCGAGUAAGUUUGUGUUGAAAGAUAUAUGUUUAAUAAGUAUCCUAAAUGCUUUAUUCAUGUUAUGUUGCCAAUUAAGGAUGUGUUCAAGUAUGGGUUGUGCUUUAAUAAUGUAUCGAGUUCAAACGAAGGCUAUUAUGCCAGAUUUUAUGAAAUAUCUCUAUGUGCCUUAGACUUUUAAUUGCUCACAUGUGUACUACACACCUUGAUUUGAAUUGUUGUUGUUGGUAAUGAUGAUGUUGAUGUUUGAAAGUAAAAAGGUGAGCAUGAAAUAUUAAGUACGGCCAACAUGCUAAGAGUGAUUUUAUAAUUGUGGCCAAUGGUGCCAAUGAAAUGAAAUAAUGUUAGAAAGAUUAUGAAAUGAGUUUUGACUCAACUAUUCCAAAAUUGACUUCGAUAAUAUAAUUCGCUAAAAGGUUAUAAACUCAAGUGAUGCCCAAAUGUGGUUUUUUUAGCUAAUGUUAUGCUUUGUAAGUAUAUUUCAAUGUGUUUUGUGUUCUUACACAUUUGUGAGUGGAAAUUGUGUAUCAUCUUAACUUGUGCUUCGAUUGCCAAUCAUUUCACUCCAUUUAUUGGAAAGAAAUCUAUUGUGUUUAAAGCCUUCAUUACUAAUGAACUUAAAGUUGUGAAUUCUGAAAUAUUCUACUUGUAGAUAAUUAUGAUGAUGAUCUAUGAAAGGGAAGAAAUGAAAGUGUGGAAUAUGAUAUACGGCCACAGCGCCAUGAACGAAUAAGAAUAUGUAUGGCCAAGGAACCAAUAAAAUAAUGAUGUUGUAAGUAGUUGAAAGUAAUUGUGAAGUGAUUUAUGGUGGGGAAGGUUAUGAGACGAAUGUAUUUGUACUUAUGUUUCCAAUGUGUUAUAAGCUUUUACGCCCUCAUGCGGAGAGGCUAUAGCAUUCCUAAAUAUUUUAAAUGUUCUUGAUGUCCUAUGAUCACCCAUGGCAAGUACAAUAAAUGAUGAUAAAUCUUAUGAAAAUGAAUUUGGGCCAUGUGCCAUUGAAAUUGGCUUAUUGAUUCACCAUAAAUGUGCUAAUGUAAUGAGCGAUGUUUCUCCAUAAUGAGCAUGAACAUGACGUGUAUCAAUGAUCCGGGAACUUAAGAUCUUAAAAGUAAUGUUAAUCAUGUCGCUUUGAGUUUAUACAUGGUUAUAUGCAUAAUGAUGUGUUAUGAACCCUAUGGACGGUCUAUGAAAAGCAUAGGUAUAUCUUGUUAUGAAAUCCUAUGGACGGUCUAUGAAGCGUAUAGGUAUAUUAUGCUAUGAAAUCCUAUGGACGGUCUAUGAAAUGCAUAGGUAUAUCUUGUUAUGAAAUCCUAUGGACGGUCUAUGAAACGCAUAGGUAUAUUGUGUUAUGAAAUCCUAUGGACGGUCUAUGAAAUGCAUAGGUAUAUUGUGUUAAGAAAUCCUAUGGACAGUCUAUGAAAUGCAUAGGUAUAUCAUGUUAUUAAAUCACUGUGAACGGUCUAUGAAAUGCACAGGUGUAUUUGUAUUGUAUAUGUAAUCCUGUGAAUGGUCUAUAAAACGCACAGGUGUAUUGUAUAAGUAUACACUGUGAACGGUAUAUGUAAUGCACAAGUGUAUUUGUAUUGUGUAAGUAAACACUGUGAACGGUCUAUGAAACGCACAGGUGUACUGUAUAGAUGAUAUUGUGAACGGUCUAUGAAACGCACAUUUGUAUUGUGUAAAUAAACACUGUGAACGGUCUAUGAAACGCACAUGUGUAUUGUAUGAUAUAUGUGAAUCCUAUGAACGGUCCAUGAGACGCAUAGGUGUAUUGUCUAUGGAAUCCUAUGAACGGUCUAUGAAAUGUAUAGGUGUAAGAUAAGAGUGGGAUAUGGACGGUCUAGUGAGACGCAUUGUUAAUGCAGACAUUACGUGCCAUUUUCAUUGGCCUUGUUCGUGCAUGUUGUUUCAAUUAAUUUAUAUUAUGUGUUCCACGUAUAGAUCAUAUUGGCAUUCUAUUUUGAAAGAGGAUUUUUUAGCUAUACAUACUAGUGCUAUUCGACAGUACUAACUUCCCUUUUGCUGAGGGCGCUGCAUCUUUUAAUGGAUGCAGGUGUACUUCUACAGGAUGAUAUGGAUCUUUGAUAAGGAUCUUCUGCGCAACAGAUUAUGGUGAGCCCGCUACAAUUCCAGUGGGCAUUUGAGUCUAGUUGGUUUUAUGUACUUAGGUAUCUAUUGUCAUAGAAGCUUCAUGUACACUGUGGGUCACGCACUUAAGUUUUUGAGUUUCGUCAUGUAAUUAUGUUCACAAAUAUUCAUGAAGCUAUGUACCCAUCACGAGAGAAAAAGAAAAGAAAAGAAAAGAAACAAUUACAGGCCAUUGAGCCAAAUGCAUUCAAAUAUGAAAGUCAUGAUUUAAUUAUGUUUUGAUAAAUCAAGUAUGAGUUAUGACAAGAGGUUGAUGUAACGUAGGCUUGCUCGACUAGGUUCACUCGGUUGAGCGUCGGUCGCGCUCCUCGAGUUUGGGGCGUGACAAACUUGGUAUCAGAUCACGGUUUAGGAGUCCUAAGGUGUCAUGGAGCUGUGUCAGUAGAGUCCCUCUUAUCGGUGUGUUGCCGGCCACCCUUAUAAUAGGGAGGCUACAACAAUAAUUUGGAAAUAUUUCUCUUCUUUUAUCCUCGAUCGUGCGUUAAGGUUCUGAGUUAGUCUCUGAGUUCACUUGUUAAUGUCAAGGAAUGUUUGCACAUCAUGCUAUGAAAUUAUAAAGGCAUAAGGAUUAAAGGAAUGACGCACAUGCCAGGAAUAAUGUGUAAGGUGCCCAAUUGUCCUCGUAAUGGAGGAAGGAAAAGUCAAGGAUACGACCAAGUUAAGCAAGGUCAUACAGUUAGCCUCGAGAGUCAUGGUUGUUGAUUUCAUGUAUAUGGUACAAUGUAGUGUUAUCUAUAUGUUGUUUAGGAUUAAUUUCUGGGAUUCUCUGACAGGUGGAUAGGCCUAGUUACAAUGGAGACUCUGCCGAAAUUUCUGAAAAGUUUUGGAGUUAGUCAAAUUUGGGGGAUUAAAAUAUUUGAAAGAAGAGUCGAGUUAUGUUAAAUGUUUUGGGAUGGACUCUACUCCUCAUUUGAGGACGAAUGAUCCUAAGUGGAGGAGAAUGUAAGGCCUCAUAAAUAUUUCCUAAUGAUUUAUGUUUUUAAAGUGCGCCAACGGUAUCUGGGAAUAACGUAUUUGAGUAUUAAAAGGAGACCUAUGGGAUAGAGCCACAUCAUGUUGAAUUGAUAAUGUAUGUUUAAGGUGUGUUGGAACAUACUAAGGAAUUUUGGGAAUGGCAAGAACUUGUGUGGAACAAGUUGGACUCAUUAAGUAGAAAGGAUGUUUCAAUUGGCACAAGACCCAAAUUCAAAUGCAUAGAACUCCCACAAUAUAAUGCCUUACGUAGUGAUCUACCUAUCCAAUUAAUUCUCUUUGAAUCUAGUUUCUAAUGCAUCAAACCGUUUGUCAUUUGGAUAUAUAUAUAUACAGAACGUUAUGGCCAUUUUACUGGACCUCUGUCAUAUGCGCGCCCAGAUGCGCGGCCGAGCAUAUUUUAGAGUUUCUUCCUCAAAUCCGCGGCCGUGCAAGUGGGAACUCAUUAAACAACCACAAAGACGGGAAUAGAGGGGGGUUAAGUCAUUUUGGCCAACAUUUUGAUAUUUUUAGAGAGAAGGAAGAGUGUUUUAGAGAGAGAGAGGAAACCCUAGGCAAAUUAUUCAUCAAGUCUUGCUCAAGCCUUGGAAGAUUAACAAGGAAAUCUCACAAGUUCUUAAUCUAAGAGGUAAGAUUCAAACCCAUAAUCUUUUAUUUUGAAUGUAGGUAAACGAUGGUUGAUUUGGAGUAUGAUUCUUGGGUAUAAGAGCAUUAUAUAUACAUGCUUGUACUAAUAAGGUUUAUGGAAAGUGUUUUGAGCUCAAAUAGUAAAUAUUAGGUUGUGGAGUGCAGGAAAUCUUAAACAAGAACCUUGUAGUUAGAUUUGCACACCUAGUGUUUGAUAAAAUGCUCAAAUGAGCUGAGAUCAUGAAUAUCUUCCAAAUAAUAUAUCAAAAUANNNNNNNNNNNNNNNNNNNNNNNNNNNNNNNNNNNNNNNNNNNNNNNNNNNNNNNNNNNNNNNNNNNNNNNNNNNNNNNNNNNNNNNNNNNNNNNNNNNNNNNNNNNNNNNNNNNNNNNNNNNNNNNNNNNNNNNNNNNNNNNNNNNNNNNNNNNNNNNNNNNNNNNNNNNNNNNNNNNNNNNNNNNNNNNNNNNNNNNNNNNNNNNNNNNNNNNNNNNNNNNNNNNNNNNNNNNNNNNNNNNNNNNNNNNNNNNNNNNNNNNNNNNNNNNNNNNNNNNNNNNNNNNNNNNNNNNNNNNNNNNNNNNNNNNNNNNNNNNNNNNNNNNNNNNNNNNNNNNNNNNNNNNNNNNNNNNNNNNNNNNNNNNNNNNNNNNNNNNNNNNNNNNNNNNNNNNNNNNNNNNNNNNNNNNNNNNNNNNNNNNNGAGUAAGUUUGUGUUGAAAGAUAUAUCUUCCGAGUAAGUUUGUGUUGAAAGAUAUAUGUUCAAUAAGUAUCCUAAAUGCUUUAUUCAUGUUAUGUUACCAAUUGAGGAUGUGUUCAAGUAUGGUAUGUGCAUUAAUAAUGUAUCGAGUUCAAACAAAGGCUAUUAUGCCAAAUUUUUGAAAUAUCUCUAUGUGCCUUAGACUUUUAAUUGCUCACAUGUGUACUACACACCUUGAUUUGAAAUGUUGUUGUUGGUUAUGAUGAUGUUUAUGUUUGAAAGUAAAAAGGUGAGCAUGAAAUAUUAAGUACGGCCAACAUGCUAAGAGUGAUUUUAUAAUUGUGGCCAAUGGUGCCAAUGAAAUGAAAUAAUGUUAGAAAGAUUAUGAAACGAGCUUUGACUCAAUUAUUCCAAAAUUGACUUCGAUAAUAUAAUUCGGUAAAAGCUUAUGAACUCAAGUGAUGCCCAAAUGUGGCUAUUUUAGCUAAUUCUAUGCUUUGUAAGUAUUUUCAAUGUGUUUUGUGUUCUUACACAUUUGUGAGUGGAAAUUGUGUAUCAUCUUAACUUGUGCUUCGAUUGCCAAUCAUUUAACUCUAUUUAUUGGAAAGAAAUCUAUUGUGUUUAAAGCCUUCAUUACUAAUGAACUUAAAGUUGUGAAUUCUGGAAUAUUCUACUUGUUGAUAAUUAUGAUGAUGAUCUAUGAAAGGGAAGAAUUGAAAGUGUGGAAUAUGAUAUACGGCCAUAGUGCCAUGAAUGAAUAAGAAUAUGUAUGGCCAAGGGAGCCAAAGAAAUAAUGAUGUUGUAAGUAGUUGAAAGUAAUUGUGAAGUGAUAUAUGGUGGGGAAGGUUAUGAGACGAAUGUAUUUGUACUUAUGUUUCCAAUGUGUUAUAAGCUCUUACGCCCUCAUGAGGAGAAGCUAUAGCGUUCCUAAAUAUUUUAAAUGUUCUUGAUGUCCUAUGAUCACAUAUGGCAAAUACAAUAAAUAAUGAUAAAUCUUAUGAAAAUGAAUUUGGGCCAUGUGCCACUGAAAUUGGCUUAUUGAUUCACCAUAAAUGUGCUAAUGUAAUGAGCGAUGUUUCUCCAUAAUGAGCAUGAACAUGAAGUGUCUCAAUGAUCCGGGAACUUACGAUCUUAAAAGUAAUGUUAAUCAUGUCUCUUUGAGUUUAUACAUGGUGAUAUGCAUAAUGAUGUGUUAUGAACCCUAUGGACGGUCUAUGAAACGCAUAGGUAUAUCUUGUUAUGAAAUCCUAUGGACGGUCUAUGAAACGCAUAGGUAUAUUAUAUUAUGGAAUCCUAUGGACGGUCUAUGAUAUGCAUAGGUAUAUUGUGUUAUGAAAUCCUAUGGACGGUCUAUGAAACGGAUAGGUAUAUUGUGUUAUGAAAUCCUAUGGACGGUCUAUGAAACGCAUAGGUAUAUCUUGUUAUGAAGUCCUAUGGACGUUCUAUGAAACGCAUAGGUAUAUUGUGUUAUGAAAUCCUAUGGACGGUCUAUGAAACGCAUAGGUAUAUUGUGUUAUGAAAUCCUAUGGACGGUCUAUGAAACACACAAGUGUAUUUGUAUUGCGUAAGUAAACAUUGUGAACGAUCUAUGAAACGCACAAGUGUACUGUAUAGAUGAUACUAUGAACGGUCUAUGAAACGCACAGUUGUAUUGUGUACGUAAACACCGUGAACGGUCUAUGAAACGCACAUGUGUAUUGUAUGAUAUAUGUGAAUCCUAUGACCGGUCCAUGAGACGCAUAGGUGUAUUGUCUAUGGAACUCUAUGAACAGUCUAUGAAAUGUAUAGGUGUAAGAUAAGAGAAGGAUAUGGACGGUCUAGUGAACUGCAUUGUUAACGCAGACAUUACGUGCCAUUUUCAUUGGCCUUGUUCGUGCUUGUUGUUUCAAUUAAUUUAUAUUAUGUGUUCCACGUAUAGAUCAUAUUGGCAUUCUAUUUUGAAAGAGCAUUUUUUAGCUAUACUUACUAGUGCUAUUCGACAGUACUAACGUCCCUUUUGUCGGGGGCAAUGCAUCUUUUAAUGGAUGCAGGUAUACUUCUACAGGAUGAUAUGGAUCUUUGAUAAGAAUCUUCUUCGCAGCAGAUUAUGGUGAGCCCGCUACAAUUCCAGUGGGCAUUUGAGUCUAGUUGGUUUUAUGUACUUAGGUACCUAUUGUCAUAGAAGCUCCAUGUAUAUUGUGGGUCAUGCACUUAAGUUUUUGAGUUUUGUCAUGUAUUUAUGUUCACAAAUAUUUAUGAAGCUAUGUACCCAUCACGAGAGAAAAAGAAAAGAAAAGAAAAAAACAAUUACGGGCCAUUGAGCCAAAUGCAUUCAAAUAUGAAAGUCAUGAUUUAAUUAUAUCUUGAUAAAUCAAGCAUGAGUUAUGAUGAGAAUGUAACAUAGGCUUGCUCGAUUGGGUUCACUCGGUUGAGCGUCGGUCGCGCUCCUCGAGUUUGGGGCAUGACAAUUACAUAAACCUAAAACCCAUAAAGAUUCCUCCUUCUCAAUUACCAUGAUCUCGCACCUUUAACCGGCCAAAUUUCUCAAAAUCUUUUGUUAAACGUUUCAUGAACAUUCUGAAUCAUCAGCCAUAAUCACAUAUUCGACAUCCUACCGGGUAGCAAGUAGAAUUCUUCGUAGAAGCUUCAUCAACAUUACACAAUCGCUAACCUACUCACAGGAGAUAACUCGCCUGUGGAAUUCCAUGCCGACAUCUUCCAACGACGUUUCACUGGGUACAACUACCACGCAUUCAGUAAACCCUCCUGAGCCCAUGCUCGUCCACCAGUUGUACAAGUCUAUUCCUUCCCCAUUGACAUCAACUGAAAGUCCGACAAUACGUUCCAAACUCGAAGUCAUGUUGAAUCUAAAAAUGGUAAUCAAGUUUUCACACCCCUCUUCAUUUCAAACAAACUCCUUUUUGCCAUACUCAAUCUUCCUCAGUGCAGUAGCUUCCAUCUCAAAUAAAAUCCGUAGACCAAGUCGCUUCCCACAACGAUUCCCAAAUCGCUCUAAACCUUUCUCAAGGCAUGUGGCUAUCCUACCACAGAAUCCAUAUGCUACUCUACCACUCUCACUUCGGUUAAACCAUCUCCUUUAAGCAAUUUCUCGACCUCUGCUCUUCAUAUUUGACCUGCUAGUAAUUCAACCACCGCAAGACACCUCCCGCGAUGUCCUUUCUCAUCCUUCGCUGCCCAAAUAUUGCCUCAAAUCAAAUCCAUACCUAUAGCACCUGAACUAAUAAAUUACUACCAACUCAAAACCUCCUAGAAGAUCAUCUUUCUCGAGCCAUCAACAUUAGAAACACCAAUUCGAUUCCGAAACAGCUACACACCGCUAUCUCUGACAACUAUUUCUCAAGCACCAUUUCACAACAAUCUGUUCCGCAAGGUAACGAUAAUAGCUCACUCAAAUACUCAAGGAGAAAAACAUCAUGCACCAUAUUUGCGGUUCCAUUUACAACUCCUCGAUGCCCAAUUGAUAACAAGUGCCCCACGUCGCAUAAGAUUGAGUACUAAGGAAAUGAAGGCAUGAGCUUUAAUAGAAUUAAAUCGCACGAUGAGGAAUCAAGAAGGGAAGUGCUCCAAAAAACCCUGUAUCCUCCCAAAGAUAAGUACAGACGUCUCUGUACCGAUCCGCAGGACUCUACUAGACUUGCUCAUGACUCGUGAGACCUAAAUAAACCUAACACUCUAAUACUAAGCUAUCAUGACCAAAAAAUCCACUAUAGGUCAUGAUGGCGCCUAACGCCGCCGUCAGGCAAGCCAACGAUGAUUAAUCAACUUAGUUACUCAUUUUAUUAUUUUUGAAAUCAUGAAUCCCAUUGAAUAAGUAGUGUAAAAUCUAGUACUCGUAGAAAACCCGUGAUUUUAUUUUUCAAUUUCCGUAUAAGGUAUAAAUUACAAGGUGAAAUGAUAAUAAUUACGCGAACUACAAUAAUGAACACCUAGUAGGUACCCCGAAAAAUCCGGUGUCACAAGUGCAUGAGCAUUUACUAAGGAGUACAAUAAUAAUACAACAUCUGUCUAGAAUAUAAAUAAGACAGGAUAAAAUAAAUAGUACGAUGGAGACUCUGUGGACUGCGAUGUGUAGCAUGGAAUGCAACUCAUAUGAAGUCUCCUCAACAGCAGCACCUACGCGCCAAGAAGAUCAUCAAAUGAACCUGUCAGAUCCUGCACAUUUAGUGCAGAAGUGCUGCAUGAGUACGUAAAUCAACGUGUACCUAGUAAGUAUCUAGCCUGAUACCGGAGAAGUAGUGACGAGGGAUCGACAUCAGCACUUACUAGUGGUCCAAUAAAUCAAUAUGGUAAAUCAUAAACAGAUAAGCGUACAACAAUAGUAGUGAGGUAAAUCUGUAACUAACACAAUCUUCCAAAAUUUCUUUUAACGAUAUCAAUUUCUCAAUCUCGUAUUCUAUCUCGACAGCUCGGGAAUAUCAAGUGCCAAUAACAAACGGAUAAGAAUUCCCAUAUAAAAUGUAAGGCAUUAGUGGAAGGAAAAUCUCGCGAAUAUUCGGACUGCUAGCGUUAUAGCGCACGAUUAUGCCCAGGUCGCACGGCCAUAUUUGAGAAACAAUAUGAUACUAUCGAGGUGAUCGUCUCGAUCCCAUCAUAAUGUGUACACUACCGAGGGUCGAGCGGCAUGAACUAGAGAUGCAUCUAUUAUACUAUUGAGGUGAACGGCCUGCUCCCAUGAGAGUGUGGUACAUAAUCCUGUCGAGGCAUUUGGCCCGCUUCACAAGAAAGGAAAGGAAUUAUCGAAUUACGAGACACGAGCUUACGAUACAGUAUAUGAACACAAGGUGAGUAUAAACUUUACCGUUUCUCAAAUAACUUGCCAACAACUUAAGACAAUAAGGCUCGGCCUAAUGUAUAUGUAUAUAUAUUUCUAAAUCAAGUUCAAUUAUAAUUUCAAUUAUUUAAACCAGCAAAAUGAAUUCAAAUAUUUCAUAUAUUACAUGGUAAAGUCCUAAGUCUACCCGGACAUAAACAUGUUUUAGCUACGUACAGACUCUCGUAACCUCGUGCAUAUAUAGCACCCACAACUAAUAGCACAUAACAAUUACAUCACCUAUGGGGUAGUUUCCUCCUCACAAAGUUAAACAGGAGAUUUACCUCACUCCGAAGUUCCAUAACCGGCUCCAACGCCACUCUAACACUCAACUCCAAGCCAAACGUUCCGAAACUAGUCAAACAAUCAUGGAAGCCAAUAAAACUAUACUCCAACAUCAUAAUUAAUUAAUUCAUAAUACUUCCCAACUCCACUUGAAAAGUCAAUAAAGUCAACCCUCGGGCCCACGUGCCCGGAUUCUGAAACUAUUUGAAGAUAAACUUUACCUAUAACACCACGAACUCAAAUAUAUAAUUUAUCCCUAAUUCCAUGUCCAAUUUCGUGGUUAAAAUCCAAAAAUACUAAUUUCUAGGUUUUCUCUUUAAAUCCCACAAUUUCCAUAAUUGUUCAUGUAUUUACAAGCCCAAAUUUGUAUAUUUAACUCACAACUUGUAGAAAUUACUUACCUCAUGAUUAACGAUGAAAAUGACGCUCCAAAAUUGAUCCAAGGCUGGAUCCCAUGGAAGAAAUGAAAUAAAAAUAAGCCAAACCCAUGUACUUAACAUGGCCCUAUGCAUAGCGGUCAUCGUACCUGCGGUCACUUGACCGCAUCUGCGGUUUCGCAGGUGCGGUCCAAACAUCGCAUCUAUGAAAACCCCCUGCCUCCCAGCAGUUCACUUUUGUGGACAAGAGUCCGCUUCUUCGCUCCUUUAGCCCAAGUCCCCUUCCCGCUUCUGCGACCAACAGCCCGCACUUGCGAGCUCGGAGGUGCGGAAAUUCUCUCGCACCUACGCAACCAUAGCCUCUUGCCCAGCACCGCUUCUCCAACCCCUUCUCCGCAUCUGCGACUUCGCAGGUGUGGAAUAUUUCCUCGCACCUGUGCCCCCAGACCUUCUUCACGAAAAUCGCACCUGUGAUGACCCCCUACGCACCUGCGGCCACUACUUCCGCAGGUGCGAUUACACCAGUCGUCAGCAGCAACAGCAUCUCCUAAAAUCCAAAUUCCAAUUCAUUUUCAAUCUGUUUCAAACUUGAGGCCCCCGGGAUCCCAUCCAAACGUACCAACACAUCGUAAAAUGCGAUACGGACUUAGCCGAAGCCUCAAAUCAGGUCAAACCACAUCAAAAUUAUGAAUCGAUGGCCAAAAACCUUUCUUCCAUUUUUCCAACCUUCAAACUUCGCCGAACGCGCCCGAAUUACACCUAAACAUUUUGGAAUGACACAAAACAUUACACACAAGUCACAAAUCACGAUACGAACCUAUUCUAAGGCUCAGAACUCCAAACGGGCAUCGAUAACAUCAAAAUCCACUUCAAACCAAACUUAUGAAAUUCUAGAACUUCCAAAAUGCUAACUUUGCAUAAUAGGCGCCGAAAUGGUUCCGGACUGCCCGAUACUCAACUCGAACAUGCGUCCAAGUCCGAAAUCAUCAUACGAAUCUAUUGGAACCUUAUAAUCUCAAUUCCGAGGCCGUUUACUCAAAAGGCAGACCUUAGUCAACCCUUCAAACUUAAAGAUUCUGAAUUUAGAAUUUUCUUUUCAAAUCAACUCUGAACUUCCUGAAAUUCAAUUUCGACCACACGUAUAAGUCAUAAUACCUGAAGUGAACUACUGAAGGCCUCAAACCGCUGAUCGACGCGCUAGAGCUCAAAAUGACCGAUCAGGUCGUUACAGUAUCGCAGAGAUAGAAAAGGGCGUGAAGCCAUCCGCACACAAACCUAACCGAAUGUUCCUUGGUUCACUAGCAUAAUCUGGAUAUGUCCUAUCAAAGUCCUUCCAAGAUUCUCUAUCUGAAGAAUGAUACAUAACACCAAGUGGUCUUCUAUUUUCAAAGUGCCAUCUCAUAUGAGAAGCGGAACUCAUCGAUGCGUAUAACCUCUUUAACCUAGGUAUAAGAGGUAAAACAUGCAUCGCCUUCACAACAACCAUAUUCUCGCUGGAAAGCCUCUUAAAAGGAGGCUUUUCACAGAAUUUACAACUUUCUAAAAUUGCAUCAUCUUUAUAAUAUAGCAUGCAACCAUCUUCACAACAAUCAAUUCUCGUUGACGACAGUCCUAACUUAGAAACCAUUUUUUUUGCCUUAUAGAAAUAACCAGGUAAGUUGAUAUCUGGGUCAACUAGUUCACUCUAAGGCUAAUGAAAGAGUCCAUGGCCGCUUGAGAAAUAUUCCAAACAUAUUUGAUACUUAGUAAUCUAACCGCAACAGACAGCUCAGAGUGAGAACUUCCUUCACGUAAUGGACGACUAGCUUCCUCUAACUAUUCAUAAAACCGUUUUGCAUCAUCGUUAGGAGCUUGUUCAACAUUUUCAUCUUCCUCAACCCCGAAGUGCAUCCCAAAAGCAUCCGUAACCAUAUCAUGAAUUCUAGAAUCUUGAUUCAUAUUCUCCACCGACCUACUACUUUCACCCGCAACCAUGUUAUGAAUUAUUUCAAAGCUACCAUCAAUCUCUCCAUUAUUAGACCACACAAAUUAAUUCUCUAUAAACACCCAACUAAAGAUGCAUCUUAACUUCCUCCGGUUUUUUAAACAUCACACUUUACACAAGGACACCUAAUUACUCAUUCAAUUUGGUAUGAUGAAAGUGACAUUAUAUGUCUUAUAAAGUCAUCAACCCCUUCUACAAAAUCAUCUCUCAAUCCCCGCCGAUUAGGAUAAUUCCUAUUAUACAUCCAAGUAUGAUGCUCCAUCUAUACAAUGAAAAAAACGAAAUUGAGAUAUUUUCAUAAGUAAUUAUGAUAACUAAUUGCGAUAAAUUAUAAAUUAAUUAUGAUAAGUAAUUCCACUAUUUUAAAUUAAGUAAUUAAUAUUGUGUUAAUUAAGAUAACUAAUUGUGAUAGUUUUUAGUUAAUUAAGAUAACUAAUUAAUUAUGAUAAGUAAUUAUACAAUUAUAAAUUAAUUAAUUUAUAUUGAAUUAAUUAAGGUAACUAAUGGUGAUAAUUAUUUGUGAAUUAAGUGUCACGACCCAAAAUUCACUAUAAGUCGUGAUGGCGCCUGACACCACCGUCAGGCAAGCCAACGGUGAUUGAUCGACUUGUUUACUCAUUUUAUUACUUUGAAAUCAUAAUUCCAAUUAAUUAAGUAGCAUAAAAUAGAAUUUACAGGGUAAAUGAUAAUAUAUACACGAACUACAAUGAUGAACAACCAAUAGGAAUCCCGAAAAUCCGAUGUCACAAGUGCAUCAGCAUCAACUAGGAAAUAUAAUAAAAUACAUCAUCUGUCUGGAAUACAAUUUAGACAUGAGAAUAGAAAUAACUCUGAUGGAGACUCUGCAGGCUGCGGAUCGUAACAUGGAAUGCAGCUCACGGUAAAAUUCCUGCAACAGCCGCGCCUCUGCACCCCAAAAGACCGCCAGACAUAUAUGUACCUACACAAUAAGUGCAACAAGUGUAGCAUGAGUACGUAAAUUAAUGCGUACCCAGUAAGUAUCUAGCCUAACCCCAGAGAAGUAGUGAUGAGGGGUCUACAUCGACACUUACUAGUGGUCCAAUAAGACAGAUACAGUAGAAGUAAACAGAUGUGACCUAGAGUAAAUAAACGAAAUAACAAGUAUAAAUACGUGGUAUAAUUUCCCUCUCAGAAAUAACUCAAACUCUUAACUAGUAGUUACCUCCACAAUCGGAGUAUAUAUAAUGGACCUCACCAGAUAGGUCGUCACAGUUCAUAUCAGAAAAACUCGCAGAUAUACUGGCUUCUUGUCAAUUAUUACGCACGAUUUCAUAAGAGUAUUUUAUAGAAAUGCCGAGGCAUACGGCCUGAUCCAUCAUAAUAUUGCUGAACCAUAGAUACAUCUAUUGUAUUGCCGAGGCGAAUGGCUCGUUCAUAUGAGAGUGUGAUACAUAAUCCUGUCGAGGCGAACGGCCCGAUCCCAUCAAAAUGUGCGCAGUGCGGAGGGUCGAACAGCACGAACUAUAGAUGUAUCUAUUAUACUGCCGAGGCGAACGGAUCGAUCCCAUUAGAAUAAGAAGCUUUGACGGGUACUUGACCCCACUCACGAAUAGACGUGUGAGUUAUAAAUUUUAAGGGAAACCUUUCGAUGAAAACGCAUAACGCGGAAGAAAUUCGUAAGAGGAGUACAAUUAUUUCGUCGGCUAAUCAUGAAGCCCGUCGAGUCUCUACAAUAGCAAGUCUAUCACUCUACACAAGUCUAGUCUUAAGUCGCAACGUAACAAUAAAGGAAAUUUAAUAGGCAAGAGACAACUCAAAUAAUACAGUUAUAGCAUGGCGUGAACCUAAGUCUACCAAGACAUAACAUGAAUCUAGCUACAUACGGACUUUCGUCACCUCGUGCGUACCUAGCCCCCGUAACAAGUGGCACAUAUCAAAUACAUCAUCUAGGGGUAGUUUCCCCCUCACAAAGUUAGACAGGAGACUUACCUCACUCCGAAGUUCCAUAACCGGCUCCAACGCCACUCAAACACCUCAAAUUGAUGGUCGUCUCUCCAAACUAGUCAAACAAAUGUGCAAAACCAUAAAUAUAUACUCUAUUAUCCAUAAUUAAUAUAUUUAUAACAAUCCCCAACUCCGCUCGAAUAUUCAAUAAAAUCAAUCUUCAGGCCCACGUGCCCGAAUUCCGAAAGUUUUCAAAGAAAAUCAUUACCCAUAACAAUUACGAACUCAAAUAUAUAAUUUAUUCCUAAUUUCAUGUCCAAUUUCGUGGUCAAAAUCCAAAAAUACAAAUUUCUAGGUUUUUCUUCAAAAUCUCAACAUUUCCACUAAUAUUUAUGUUUAAAUCCACAUACAAUCAUGUAUUUAACUCACAAUAUGUGGGAGUUACUUACCUUGACAUAGAUGAUGAAAACCUCCACUUGAAGCUCUACAAAAAUCGCCCAAACCAAGAGAGAAUGAAAGAAAAUGGGCCAAAUCCCGUUCUUAAAACAACAUUGCCCCAGUGACCUUUUGCAUUUACGGAAUAGUAGCCACAUCUGCGGAAACAUCCUCGCAGAUGCGGCUACCCCCAAGGCCAGCACUUUUCGCUUCUACGGCCAAUCAACCGCAAGUGCGCAUCCGCUUGAACACAGAUCGAACACAACUCCGCACCUGCACGCCCAUGACCACACUUGCGGCUCCGCAGGUGCGCUACAGCACCCGCACCUGCAAUCAACCAGCCCUAGGCCACUUCCGCUUCUGCGCUCCCCCGCCCGCAUCUGCGAGCCCGCAGGUGUGGCAAAUUCCUCGCACCUGCGAUUCCCAUCCAGCUCACUCUGUACCGCUUCUGCGACUCCUGGGCCGCUUCUGCGGUCUUGCACCUGUGGCCAUAACCUCGCAGGUGCGAUCGCACCAGAAGCCUUAAGCAUUAGCACUUCUUCCAAGUCCAAACUCGACCCGUUUCGAACCCGAUUCGCACCCGAGGCCUCCGGGACCCGGUCCAAACAUACCAACACAUACCACCACACGAUACGAAGUUAGUCGAAACCUCGAAUCACGUCAAACAACAUCAAAAUUAUGAAUCACGCCUUGAAUCAACUUAUAAAUUCUCAAAUUUCCAAAUUCUAUAUCUUGUGCCGAAACGUACCAAAUCAAUCUGGAAUAACUUCAAAUUUUUUGCACAGGCCACAAAUAACAAAACAAACCUAUUCCAAGGCUCGGAACCUCAAACAAACAUCAGUAACAUCAAAAUCAACUUCAAAUCAAACUUAUGAAAUUCUAAAACCUUCAAAAUGCUAACUUUUCAUAAUAAGCUCUGAAAUGCUCUCGGCGACCCUAUACUCAACCCAAACAUACACCCAAGUCUGAAAUCAUCAUACGAACCUAUUGGAACCUUCAAAUCCCGAUUCUGAGGUCAUUUACUCAAAAGUCAAACGUUAGACAAUUGUUCUAACUUAAAGCUUCCAAAAUUAAAAGUUUUUUCCAAAUCAACUCCGAACUUCUCGAAGUUCAAUCCCGACCACACGUACAAGUUAUAAUACCAGAAGUGAAGCUACUCAAGGCCUUAAACCGCCGAACAACGCGCUAGAGCUCAAAACGAUCGGUCGAGUCGUUACAUUCUCCCCCACUUAAACAUAUGUUCGUCCUCGAACGUGCUAAGAAUGUUGCGGAGUUGUCCAAAGUCAUUGUUUAACACCUCGUGUACCUGCCAGUGCCAUCACAACCCAGCUAAGCACAUUAGCUCUAGCUAGACUGAAGAUCCUCCCUUUCAUUUAGUCAAUAAGCCUUAGAACCAAAUUCCAAGCUCUAGAUUUCUCUUCAAGACCUGAUUCUAACAUACGAACAUCGCAUUAGUCACUACACACUGUACCAAAACAUGAUCAUGCACCCAUGAAGUCACACCACGCACCACAUAAGUCGGUCGCCCAUGGAAACAUCUUCUGACCACCAUAGCUGGAAAUUUCACGAAUUUGAUGCCUGCAGUACACCUCAUGACUCAUAUAAGUCUUGUUCCCACUCUCGCAAUACUGCCAGGACAGAAAAGAUGUAUAGAACUAAUAACCACCCACCGAAAUAAUAAAUCAUGGAGUCUCUCCUCCCGACAAGGACCAUUACCUCAUUCUGAACUGAAUAAUGAUAUAUGCUCUUUAAUAUACCCUACAUAACUCUGAUCACACUUAUCCCAAGUCCAAUAACCUCGUCUCACCCAGUACAAGCUGCUCAAGCAAUAAGCCAUAUCAAACACUACCAAAAUCUCAUAUGAUGUCAACAAUGCGCCAACACAUUACAAACUCGAAUUUGAUGCAUAAGGAAAAACGAACUCUGAAAAAGAACUACCCAGCCUGCGUAACGAAUAAAAUGACCGAACAACUGCUAUGAACCCUUCUCAGAGAAUGAGAAACCAAAUACACAAGAACAGAUAUAGGGAACCGUACUCCACAUCUCAUUGUUGCGGUGUGCAACCCGAUCCAUACAUGUUACCGUUGCGGCGUGCAACCCGAUCCAAAUAUGAUACCAUUGCGGCGUGCAACCCGAUCCAAACAACGUAACUGUGGCGGCGUGCCACCCUAUCCAUUCAUAACAAUAAAUAAAGACACACCCAUCAAGCCAUAAUGCUUCUACCUACGGAAUACCGAAUAUCAUCCACAAGCACACCAAGUGAACAAAUACAACCCUGGGGAGACGGAUAGCGCAACACGCCACAAAACCCAAGCACAAUUAAGGCGCGAUAAAUGACCUGCAUCUCGAGAGCCAUCCUGCUCAUAUAACAACACAAGCUACACGAGACCUCAACACAUGUGCGAAUAAUCAAAUCGUCUCAAUCCGGAACAACUCCCACCAUUCACAACCGAAGGAAUAGAGCGCCUUCUAGGCAUAAACUCUCACAUUAACGAUAGUACAAUAAUCUCCAUGCUUGGUUUAAAUCUUUAACAAUCAUGUGACUAACAUGUUAUGCUUAUACAGGUUUCCCCGUGGAAUACUCUCCCACAACCUUUCGCACCAGGUAGCAAUGUCUGCACAUCCAUACCACCAACUAUUCUAAUUCUGUAAAGCAAAUCAAGAAUCCGCAAAUCAAUACACCAAGCCUAUUACACAUAACGCCGUUCUCAGGCAACACUAAAGAAAAUUCCAGCUUACUCUAAACAUCUGAAUUCUCCCCUGCUCAUCCGAGCUUGUGGCAUUCUUGUCAACACUGAACCGCAACCUUGAUCCUUAACUUUCAAAUUCCCAUGCCACUCACUGCACCUAUCAUGCCGCUAUGCGAGAAUACACGAUUCAUCAUAACCCCUGAACUACCAGUAGAAUAAACACUUCAUUAGCUAGAAACAUUUCACUUAGCUCAUUUGAGAAGAGCCAAUGCAACACGCAACUGAAUUCCCAAACCGCAGAAAAUACAAACCUCAAGUCGUGGUCUAAAUCGACAUGACUCCUCCGAAAUACACUUACACCACAAGGACAUUUGAAUCAAAUACCUCCCAAAUCAAUCAAGUUGUGGUGACUGUUAAGCCCACGGAUACAACCACAAACCACAUGUAAAACAUCACACACUGAAAGAACUGAUUUUUCCCACAAUCAUGCUGAUUCAGCCUUUACUAACCGACCCAACUUCUUCCAAUUUACUCUCGACUUGCCUUAGAAAUAAUAAUAGCUCCAUUCAAAGACGUAACAAACCAAAUUCGCACUCAUGCCAAGUGACCCGCAUCAUGAGACUGCAUCGUCUCAAUACUCAUGAACCAUUUCAUACUGUUCUUAUGCGCAUAAGAGCAUCUCCAACUGGUACACCCAUUCUAAAAGACCUUCCGUGAAUCCGAAGCUAUUUCUUCCUUUCCUCUAAUACUGCACCAUAUACCCGUUGAUAACAUAGAACAUUCCAGGUCUCGUUCGUAAUUCACUGUGAAAACUCGAUCCUUAACCACACAACGGACCCGAAAUCCUUAGGCACUGCACUUUAAUUCUUGAACCCACUAGGACCAUUGUUGAGAGUCAACCACUCUGACCUAAUCCCGAAUAUAACCAAACUUCAACGCUAUGCUAGCACAUGAACACCCUCUCAAAGAAGCAAUUUUCUGAAUUCGUUUCCUUGUACAUUACAUCCAUAAGAAGCAUAAACUCUGAGUCCUCCCAGACAUGUACCUUAAUCGAUAAGGCGAAGCAUAGCACACAUUUAUCAAGUUCCUUCCUCGAAUUACUCCUGAUAUUUUCUUUUCUUAGUCAUAAAUAAUCCACCAACGCAUCGAUAACCAGAAACCGCACAAGCAGACAACCACGCGAUCCAAUUCUAGACGGUGGGGCUCCCCCACUUAACUUUAAGCUACAAUUUUAUAAACCUAGAACCCACAAAGAUUUCUCUUCUCAAUUACCAUGAUCUCGCACCGUCAACCCGCCAAAUUUCUUGUAGUUUCUUAUUAAACGCUUCAUGAACAUUCCGAAUUAUCAUCCAUAAUCGCAUAUUUGACCUUCUGCUUCAUAGUAAGUAGAACUCUCCGUAGAAACUUCAUCAAAAUCACACAAUCGCUGACCUGUCCACAGGAGAUAGCCCACUUGUGGAAUUCCAUACCGACAUCUCUCAACGACGCUGCAUUGGGUACAACUACCACAAAAUCAGUAAACCCUCCUGAGCUCAUGCUCAUCCACCAGUUGUACAAGUCCAUUCAUUCCCCAUUGACAUCAACUGAAAGUCUGACAAUACAUUCCAAACUCGAAGUCAUGUUGCAUCCCACGACAAUCAAGUUUUCACACCCCUCUUCAUUUCAAGCAAACUCCUUUCUGUCAUAUUCAAUGUUCCUUGGUACAGUAGCCAUUUUUUCAAAUAACGUUCGUAGACCUAGUCACUUUCCACCAUGACUCCCAAAUCGCUCUGAACUUUCUCAAGGCAUGUGGCUAUCGUACCAUAGAAUCUACAUGCUACUCUGCCACUCUUAAUUCGGUUAAACCUUCUUAUUUAAGUAACUGCUCGACCUCUACUUUUCAUACUUGACCUGCUAGUAAUUCAACCACCGCGAGACACCUUCCUCCAUAUCCUCCCUCAUACUUUGCUGCCCAAAUGUUGCCUCAAAUUAAAUCCAUACCUAUAGCACUUGAACUAAUAAAUCGCUACCAACUCCCAACCACCUAAAAGAUCGUCUUCCUCGAGCCAUCAACAUUAUAAAUACCAAUUCGAUUCUGAACCACUACACACCGAUAUCUUUGACAACCGCUUCUCGGGCACCAUGUCACAACACCCUUCGUCGAAGGCAAAUAUCAAAGAAGUCCAUAAUACCGGGGAACCCUAAUACGUUCGAACAAGGACGAUGACACCACGUCACCAAGGAAAAUUCCACCAUGCUAAAAAAUAACAAGUCUCGUUACUUCAUCAACCACACCUGGACAUCUAUAGUCCAAUUGCCCUUUCUCUACUGGAAUUAAAUGCUGAACCUCUAAAUUAUGCACUGAGAAAUCCUCCUUUCAAGUCAUUCACUGCCUCGACCCAUAAUCAAGCACCCUACCAUUGUGUGACAACAAUGCAUAGAUAUUAUAGAAAUCCGUGCACGGUCUUAAAACCAUAAGGAAUACAGAUACUGAGCCGAAACAACAAAACAUCCUUCCGCAAGGCGACGAUAAUAGCCUGCCCGAACACGCAGGGAAAACAUCCUGCACCACGUCUGCAGUACCACUACAACUCCUCGACACCCCAUUGACAACAAGCGCCCCUACGUUGCGUAACAUUGAAUAGGAAGGAAGUAAAGGCACAAGCCUCAAUGGAAUCAAACCGCACGAUGAGGAAAUCAAGGAGGGGAGUGCUCCUAACAGCCAUGUAGCCUCUUGAAGAUAAGUAAAGAUGUCUCCGUACCGAUAUGCAAGACUCUACUAGACCUGCUCAUGACUCGUGAGGCCCAAGUGAACCUAACGCUCUGAUACCAAGCUGUUACAACCAAAAGUCCACUAUAGGUCGUGAUGGCGCCUAACACCGCCGUCAGGCAAGCCUACGAUGAUUGAUCGACUUGUUUACUCAUUUUAUUACUUUGAAAUCAUAAUUCCAAUUAAUUAACUAGUAUAAAAUAAAAUUUACAGGGUAAAGAAUAAUAUAUAUACGAACUACAAUGAUGAACAACCUGUAAGAACCCCCAAAACCCGGUGUUACAAGUGCAUGAGCAUCAACUAUGAAAUAUAAUAAAAUACAACAUCUGUCUGGAAUACAAUUUAGAUAGGAGAAUAUAAAUAACUCUGAUGGAGACUCUGCAGGCUGCGGAUCGUAACAUGGAAUGCAGCUCACGAUAAAAGCACUGCAACAGUCGCGCCUCUGUGCCACAAAAGACCACCAGACAUAUAUGUACCUACACAAUAAGUGCAAUAAGAGUAGCAUGAGUACGUAAAUCAACGUGUACCCAGUAAGUAUCUAGCCUAACCCCAGAGAAGUAGUGACGAGGGGUCGACAUUGACACUUACUAGUGGUCCAAUAAGACAGAUACAGUAGAAGUAAACAGAUGUGAGCCAAAGUAAAUAAACGAAAUAAUAAGUAUAAAUACGUGGUACAAUUUCCCUCUCAGCAAUAACUCAAACUCUCAGCUGGUAGUUACCUCCUCAAUCGGAGUAUAUAUAAUGGACCUCAGCAGAUAGGUCGUCACAGUUCAAAUCAAAAAAACUCGCAGAUAUAUUGUCUUCUUGUUAAUUAUUAUGCACGAUUUCAUAAUAGUAUUUGAUAGAAAUGUCGAGGCGUACAACCCGAUCGAUCAUAAUAUUGCUGAACCAUAGAUACAUCUAUUGUAUUGCCAAGGUGAACGGCCCAUUCAUAUGAAAGUGUAUUACAUAAUCCUGCCGAGGCAAACAGCCCGAUCCUAUCAUAAUGUGCGCACUGCUGAGGAUCGAACGGCACAAACCAUAGAUGUAUCUAUUAUACUGCCGAGGAAAACGGCCCGAUCCCAUUAGAAUAAGAAGCUUUGACGGGUCUUUGAUCCCACUCACGAAUAGACGUGUGAGUUAUAAAUUUUAAGGUAAACCUUUCGAUGAAAACACAUAACGCGGAAGAAAUUCGUAAGAGGAGUAUAAAUAUUUUGCGGCUAAUCAUGAAGCCCGUCGAGUCUCUACAAUAGAAAGUCUAUCACUCUACACAAGUCUAGUCUCAAGUCCCAACGUAACAAUAAAGGAAAUUUAAUAGGCAAGAGACAACUCAAAUAGUACAGUUAUAGCAUGGUGGGAACCUAAGUCAACCCGGACAUAACAUGAAUCUAGCUGCGUAUGGACUAUAGUCAUCUCGUGCGUACGUAGCCCCCGCAACAAGUGGCACAUAUCAAAUACAUCACCUAGGGGUAGUUUUCCCCUCACAGAGUUGGACAGGAGACUUCCCUCGCUCCGAAGUUCCAUAACCGGCUCCAACUUCAUUCAAACACCUCAAACCGAUGCUCGUCUCUCCAAACUAGUCAAACAAAUGUGCAAAACCAUAAAUAUAUACUCUAUUACCCAUAAUUAAU
RNAcentral lists this long non-coding RNA (49070 nucleotides) under Nicotiana tabacum (common tobacco). Its description in RNAcentral is "long non-coding RNA (NTAB_LNC015914)". The record is from RNAcentral. Lineage: Eukaryota; Viridiplantae; Streptophyta; Magnoliopsida; Solanales; Solanaceae.